CUAACGGGACGGUGGGUUCGCUACGGCUCGAGGGGGCGUGUGCGCGUGAAAUGACGAGAAAGCAAAGGCAGCGAAAGAACGAGAGCGAGAAAGCGGAAGGGAGAGGAACAGCGGUGACGCGACGACAUAUUUAUAGGCAGCUGACCACCAACGGACAGAUCCGAGAAGUAAGGUAACUCCCCCAUAAAUGCGCCGCCUGACAUCUCUCUCUCCCUCCUCACAGGCCGGACUCUCCGAAUUCCUCGCCGAUACGGUGUCGCAACGUCAUCCGCCUAAAAAGACGCGCCCAACGGGCAGAAAUGCGAACCGCCACGACCGUUUCCUUCCCUCGUAAGCCAGGGGACAUAACCGCAAAAGUCUCGAGAGAUCGAUGGCUGGCCCGCCGAAAGGGUUCGACAGCCGAUCUCGAGCGCCAGAGUCAGGGAUCCCCAGCAAGUGGUCGAAAAUCGAGGCCCGCCUCGAGGUCUUGCUGGCGAUGUUCAAGGUAGGAUCGAGACAGUCGAGAGGAAUCCCCCCGAAGGGAGGCAUCGAGCCACUGGACUCUAUCGAAUGAGACCGGUAUCCCCGACCACGUCGACCCUGCUUUAUGAGGACGCCUCCGGGCUACAGCUGACCCCCCUCGAAAGGGGCACAGGUUCUCACUUGGACUACCCGCUAGGAACUCAAUUUGGGAUGAAAGACGCUCGCUCCAUCGAGAGUACGUCGAAACCCACGAGCAAAAAACGAGCCAGUCAGAAUCUUCCACCACUGGUGUCGAAAGCGUUUCUGCGAAUUAGAUAACAUAACCCUCGAAGGAGUCAAAAACUCCUCCGAGGUCUCGGGGGCUACCCCGCGGGGUCGCUCGCGCGCCCCCACGAAAAUUCAACCGUAAAUCAAAACCUCCAUUCGAGCGCUAGCGCUCGAAUGAAGGCUCGGGGGCUACUGUCGAGGGUAUCAGUAAGGGGUACCCUCAGCGAUGCGCAUUAUGAGAUUGCCCAUACGAAGGUUGGGACUCCCAAUUCAACGCCUUAAUCUUACUUACGCGCUGCCAACGACGGUCGCAGCCUCGAAUACGGGAAUAGCGUCGAGCGAAUCGGUCAGGGCUCGAGCAACGACUACCGUCGAAGACGGAAGCGGGCUCGAGCGAACCGAGAGACGUCGAGCGUUAGGACACUGUCCGCCGCCUGACGCGCGCACGCGGGCGGGAGCAUUAAAUGCACCUGACGUUUCCCACCUAACACCCGGGUAACGAAAGGCGUGAUAGGGAACAAGCUUCUGUCCCAUCGUUCUUUUUGCAGCCUUCCCACCGAACGACCCAGGGUGCGUCAGGACGCAGGAAACGAGGAUGGAACGUCUAAUCAGGACCCCCUCGAGACACCCAAGGUCAGCGCUCCGGAUGUCAGCCUAUUACGCGGCGCCCGACCCUCGACCAAACGAGGUCCCUUCUCGGGGACGAGUCGGGCAUCGACUGACAACACCACCAGCUCCGCCGGAACCGCCACCAUACCAUACGAGCAUGCGAUCUCAGAACCAGCACAAGGCGGCUAGCAGGGCAGCACACAGGAGCACGCGUAAUCAUCAUCAAGCUAUCAAGAUGGGACGGCUCGAGGCCAUGACGUACGGAAGCCUCGAGUAGGUCAGCGCUCCAUGCGGCUAUCAAUCCCUACUCUAAUAUCUAUGCAUGUACCCUUUGUCUCUCCUUGGAGCUAUAAAAGGAGGGACUCAGGAAUAGAAGAGGGAUCACAACGCAAGCACACACACAUACACGUAGUAGAGCGACACAUUUCAUUCCACGCUUGUAUUCGCCCCUGUACAAGCACUUAGGUGCAAGAUAAUACAAACUCUCUCCCUCCGCUGGACGUAGGGCCUUCUCUUGCCCGAACCAGGAUAAAUCUCUGUGUCUUCUUGCAUCACCAUCCGGAAAGGGGAGCACGCAUACAAAUUUACUCGUUGGUGUGACCCCCCCCCCCGGGGAAAGAACACCGACAAUACUUUCAACUUGAGCAGAUUAAAAGAAGAAAAGAUUUAUGUAGGUUUGGGUAAUAAAACCUUGCGGUCUUUGCAAAAUGGUUGUCAGCUACCCCACCAAAUAGCCUUCAUGAUCCUUGAUGAGUCUUUAUUUUAAGUUUAUGACGGGUAAGUCUAGCUGAGUACCUUCUCGUACUCAGGGUUCUAUUCCCAUGUUGUUUUGCAGAUGGUCAAAUGUACUAUGGUUAUUGCAUCCUCUGUCUGUACCCAGCUAUGGGUGAUGACUAGACCAAGGGCGAUGGUCACUCCGUCUCUUCUUUUGCUUUUGUGGGAAUGACCGAACUAUGGCACUGUAUCAGACUUAUCGUGUGUGUUGUAAUUUCAAACUAUGAAGCUUCCGCUACUUGAAGAACUUGGUUUGUAAUAACUUUAAGCACUCCGAUGUAUUUUAUGAAUGUUGUAAUCUGGAUGUGCUUGUGGAUGGCGACCGCUAAACUUAUUACGAUCUUGGCUGUAUAUGUGAUGUGUGGUUUGAAAUCCUUCGAGAUUUCACGGACUACCGGGAUUAUAUGGGCUUAAGCGUGAUAGUUCGACUACGCAAAUGGUCACUAUUAGGCUUAAUCUCUUAUAAUUUGGUCGGUUCUGUUACAGCUGGCAUCGGAGCAAGGUUUAGCGAGUUACUGUUCAUAAGUAUGUUUUAAACAAAAGUCUAAACCGGUUUAGUAAAAGAUUUUAUUAAUUAAUUAAUAAUGAUCAAGGUGUUAAACUAAGUUUUGGGAAAAUUAUCUAGUGUGCCAUGGUCAUAUCCUUUAUGCCCAGUUAAGGACUCUAAGGUGGCUAGCUAAGUACUGACUUGGGGGUUAAUGCAUCAUAUUUUUAUUUCGUCGCUCAUACGGCGUGCAAUAGUAUGAGUGCCAUUCAUUUGAGUGGUAAUGUAUGGAUCAAUUCUUCCUCUACGCCAUGGUAAGUGGGAGUUGUGAGAGCAUGAUCGGAUACACUGCCGGUCUAGGGAAGUGUUGUCAGGUACUGUGUCAUGCACACAUGUUGGUGUGUCUUGGGAACAGUACCGCAUGUUGAGAAUUCCGUCCUGAGAGGCGAUGUCGUCAUUAGGGCGAUGAUGUGGGUAGUGACACAUCGCAUGCAUGGACGGGUGUCUGUGUAUGUGAAGUGUAUAGUUUUAAAUUUUGUUCUACACGAUCAUACUGUGGGUGGGCUGAAAUGAGUUUUCUGCAGGUACCCUAACCACGUUCUCGCUUAGAACGCUAGUUACGUUAUGGGAGAACGUUGUGUGCCACCGCAUAUACCGCCUAGUGUUAACCUUUGUUUUCUAAGUUUGUGAGAUCGUAAGUUCGUGCAUGCAUCAUGUUCAUUUCAUAUCAUUGCUUACUUUCCCCCUUAAUUUAAUCUGUCCCAAUUCUAAAUAAAAUAAUUAAAGGUAAUCCUCGCUCUUACCCACGGUAUUCCAUUUGCAGCAGAUGGCACGCACUAGGCUCACCGCUCGCAAGUCCACUGGUGGGCGGGCCCCUCGCCGUCCGUUGGCAGCUAGGAGCUCGCGACAUAAGAGCAAGUUCCUAGAGGAGUUUGGGAUGCCCACUUUGCUUUAGAGGGUGCUCAGUUCGAUGGGGUAUCCCGAAGGAAGGGAGCCUCGCUACUAUUGGGAUAAGGAGCCGCUUGGGGAUGAGACCCUGGUGGGGAUCGAGGCAGUUGUCCCUACCAGUGGAGGAGACCCUGCUUGGGGCGGUUGGGUGUACGAGUCCCGAGGUGUCACGCCUUUCCACGGUGCCAGCAGGGCAGCUUUCGCAGUUUUGAGGGACCUCAUGGAGAGGUUUCCACAGGAGCUGGCCCACGCCUUCGCUGGGGUGUUUCCCCGGGGUGACCCUUACACUUCGGUGUGGGAUCAGUCCGAGGUGAAUGCUCUAGAGAGGAGUGCGGAUGAGGACCAGCACAGUGACAGUGCAGCUAUGAGUGCCAUGUACGCGUUGAUGAAGACCUAUGGAGGCCUGGAGCGUUGUUUGGGUCGCUUGUCCGGGUCUCUUCUCACCGUCCAGGAUGAGAAGCGUCAGUUGCAGCAUGAGUUUGACUCUGAGGUUGAGAGGCUACAGGCAGAGUUGGCUCGUGUGACCAGAGAGAGAGACCAGGCAGUCCAGAAGAACAGUGAGCUGAGUCAGGACAUGCUUGCAGUACGGGAGCAGAAGGACAGGGUGACUACUCCUCACCGGAACUGCGAGCGCAUGCUAGUCCAUGUGCUUGGACAGAGGAAUGAAGCCUGGCACGAGGAGGACACUUUGAGGGCCCGACAGCUAGAGCUAGAGCAGCAGCUAGCUAAUGCCGAGGAGUACAAUGAGAACUUGCAUGAGGAGAUCCACCAGCUGCAUAACCAGCUCCACCCUCACCACCUGCCUGGAGCAGCGGAGCUAGACUCUGAGGACGAGAUGGACGCGGAUCCCGAGAUAGGAGCAGCUGCUAGUGGUGAUGAAGAUGAGGAUGGCUCCGGCAUGGACAGUGACCACAGCGAGUAGAUGCUAGGGCUCUAGAGCUAGUCUUUCCUCUUUUGUGAUGUAUGUUGCGUGGCAUGUCAUGUACUUUUGGAUCUGGGCUGUGUAAGACUUUAUGAGUUGAUGCUGAAAGUCCAGUGUAUGUAUGCUGGCAAGUUGAUGUACGCGAACCUUGUUGCGUGAAUGUUAAGUAAUCUGUUAGUGAUGUUGUGCGUGGAUGAUGAGUUGUUGUGCCUUUGUUUAUUGUGUGAAUUUAUUCCCUCAGUAAAUUCAGUAUGGCAUGAUUUUACACAUUUUCUACCGGUUGAUGGCAACUCCUAACGAUUGCUUAUCAUUGGCGUAUGCAGAUGGUACAAACACGUGGCGGGGGUAACAGCAAUCCGGGCCUUGGAGCAGGUACAUCCGGAGGUGGGGCUCAACGGAAUGAGGACAGAGCACCAACACCGCCACCACCACCGCCUCCCCCGUACACUGCGGAUGUGUUUUUCGCGCAGUUUCUGGGAAGCCAACGCAACAUGGAACAGAUGCAGCGCAACAUGGAAGAAGCUUUGCGCAACAUAGCUGACAACACCCGUCGUGGAGAUAAUCAGGGUGGUCGGGAGGUCAACCAGUACAGUUCGUUCAAGGACUUCAUGGAUACCAAGCCACCAAUCUUUAAGGAGGCCUUGGAACCGCUCGAAGCAGAUGAGUGGAUCAACACUAUGGAGCAGAAGUUUCGUCUUCUCCGAAUGACGGAAGAACUCAAGGCUGAGUAUGCGGCACAUCAGUUGCAAGGACCCGCUGGGAUUUGGUGGUCCCAUCACCGUACCACCUACCCAGAGGGGACACCAAUCACCUGGAACCGCUUCACCACCGCUUUCCGGGGAAAUUACAUUCCUCCUGGUGUGGUUGAAAUGAAGGUUGGGGAGUUCAUGAGGCUGUCCCAAGGGACGAAAUCUGUGAAAGAGUAUCUACAUGUCUUCAAUAAUCUCGCUCGCUAUGCCCCUGAGUUUGUGAACACGGAGGCCAAGAAGAUUGCUAGUUUCCAGAGGGGCUUGAAUCCAAAGAUGCUGAAGACCAUGGGUACAGGGGCCAGGGCUACUUUCAAUGCCUAUAUCAGUGACUGCCUGACCCAAGAGAACAAUAACAACAACUACAGUGCAUCCAAGUCACGUAAAAGGGCUUUUGAAGCAGGAUCAUCCCAGUCCAGGGCACCAGUGGCAGGGCGACAGCAGUAUCAUCCUCCUGCCCCGGGUGCUAGGUUCCGACCACCGCAGAGAAGGAACACCGGGCAUCCAACACAGCAGAAGCCGUACAAGGUGGCGAUAGCUCCUGCCAAGCCAAAGGCAAAUCAAGCUGCAGCACCUGCCGUCAACAAUGCGCCCAAGGGUCCGUGCUAUAACUGCCACAAGAUGGGGCACUUUGCUAAGGAAUGUCCCUACCCCAAGAGGCAGCAGCCAACAUAUCCAGCUCGUGUGCAUCAUACCUCGAUUGAGGAAAUCCCGGAAGGAGAACCGGUAACAGCUGGUAUGUUUUCUGUCAACCAACAUCUUGCAGUUGUUUUGUUUGAUUCUGGAUCGUCGCAUUCUUUCAUGAGUCAAGCAUUUGCACAAAAGCAUAAUCAACCAGUUACAGAUCUGGGCUAUGGCUACCGCAUCAGCUCAGCAGGGGCAGAUGUGUUGACCAAUAGAGUGGUCCGAGGGGCAACCCUGGAGAUAAGUGGCCGAGUCUUUCGGGUAAAUCUAGUGGUCAUGCCUGGGUUAGUUUUGGAUGUUAUCAUGGGCAUUAAAUGGAUGAGAGAAUGGGAUGCGGUCAUAGAUACUAGAAAGAGGAUGUUAUCUCUCAGAGAACCACAGGGCAGUAACUCUUUUCAAGUACCUCUGCCCCGUCGUCUUGACUUUGCUAGCAUCUCCUGUGCUACGCACGUGGUCCCUUUACCACAGAUCCCAGUGGUCUGUGAGUUCCCCGAUGUGUUUCCCGAGGAGUUACCAGGACUUCCCCCAGAUAGGGAGGUAGAGUUUGUAAUCGAGUUGAUACCAGGUACAGCACCAAUAUCUAGAAGGCCGUACCGGAUGCCACCAAACGAACUCGCAGAGUUGAAGAAACAACUGAAGGAGUUACUAGAAAAGGGGUUCAUCCGGCCCAGCUCGUCGGAAUGGGGUUGUCCAGCGUUGUUUGUGAAAAAGAAGGAUCAGUCGUUGCGCAUGUGCGUGGACUAUCGUCCACUCAAUGCAGUGACAAUCAAAAAUAAGUAUCCCUUGCCAAGGAUUGAUAUCCUGUUUGAUCAGUUAUCCAAGGCAAGAGUGUUCUCUAAGAUAGAUUUGAGAUCUGGGUAUCACCAAAUCAAGAUUCGUCCGCAAGAUAUCCCGAAGACUGCUUUUUCCACCAGAUAUGGGUUGUACGAGUAUCUUGUCAUGUCCUUUGGGUUGACAAAUGCUCCUGCAUACUUUAUGUAUCUGAUGAAUUCAGUCUUUAUGCCAGAAUUGGAUAAGUUUGUUGUGGUGUUUAUCGAUGAUAUUCUGGUAUAUUCAGAAAAUGAGCAAGAUCACGCCGAACAUCUGAGAAUCGUGCUGACACGAUUACGAGAGCAUCAGUUAUAUGCCAAGUUCAGCAAGUGUGAGUUCUGGUUGAAGAAAGUUCCGUUCCUAGGGCACAUUUUGUCUGAAGAAGGGAUUGCCGUAGAUCCAUCAAAAGUGCAGGAAGUCAUGGACUGGAAGGCACCAACUUCUGUCUCGGAAGUUAGAAGUUUUCUUGGUCUGGCCGGGUAUUAUCGUCGUUUCAUACCUGACUUCUCCAAGAUUGCUAAGCCAAUGACAAGUUUGCUACAAAAGGAUCAUAAGUUCGUCUGGACGGAAGGGUGUGAGUUAGCCUUCCGCGCCUUGCGAAAGUUGCUAACCACUGCUCCUGUUCUGGCACAACCUAAUAUAGAGAAGCCUUUUGAUGUGUUUUGUGACGCAUCGAAGAGUGGCCUGGGGUGUGUGUUGAUGCAAGAUGGCAGGGUGAUAGCUUAUGCUUCCCGACAGUUGAGAAAGCAUGAAGUCAACUAUCCAACGCACGACCUUGAGUUAGCAGCAGUGGUACAUGCUUUGAAGAUCUGGAGACAUUAUCUGCUAGGAAAUAAGUGUCACAUUUACACCGAUCACAAGAGUUUGAAGUACAUCUUCACUCAGUCCGAGCUGAAUAUGAGGCAACGACGAUGGUUAGAGCUAAUCAAGGAUUAUGACCUGGAAGUUCACUAUCAUCCAGGCAAAGCUAAUGUGGUCGCAGAUGCUUUGAGUCGCAAACCGCACUAUCAAAUGGUUCAACCGUUGUUUGAAGAUGGGUUCAAUCUUAUGCAUCCUGAGGUCUUAUGUCAUAUACAACUCAGUUGUUCACUCGAGAGUCAAGUCAUUGAAGGUCAGAAAACAGACAAGGGUAUUUUCCACAUCAAAGAGAAGAUCAAAGAUGACCCAAAGACUCAGUUUCGGGUUGAUGAGAAGGGGGUACUGUGGUUUCAACAGCGGUUAGUGGUCCCGAAAGAUCGGGAGUUGAAGAAUCGCAUCAUGGAUGAAGCCCAUCUCUCUAAGCUUUCUAUUCAUCCUGGCAGCAGCAAAAUGUAUCAAGAUCUAAGGCCCCACUUUUGGUGGACCAAGAUGAAGAAAGAAAUAGCCGCUUAUGUGGCCCGUUGUGACACGUGUUGCAGAGUUAAAGCCAUCCAUAUGAAACCUGCAGGUCUGUUACAACCGUUAUCAGUUCCGGAGUGGAAAUGGGAAGAGGUCAGUAUGGACUUUAUCACCGGCUUACCGACAACCAGGAAGGGGAAUGACUCGAUUUGGGUAAUCAUAGAUCGAUUAACCAAGUCGGCUCAUUUCAUUCCAGUCAAGAACACAUACAGACCUCCCGAGUAUGCUGAUAUAUAUAUGGCUGAGAUCGUCAAAUUGCAUGGUAUUCCCAAAACUAUCAUAUCGGAUAGAGGACCGCAGUUCACUGCUCACUUCUGGGAGCGCAUGCAUAAGAGCUUGGGGACCAGUCUGAUAAGAAGCACGGCGUAUCAUCCCCAGACUUCAGGUCAAACCGAGAGGCUAAAUCAAGUGUUAGAAGAUAUGCUAAGAGCCUGUGUGCUAUCAUCCAGGGGAUCGUGGGAAUCAUGGUUACCUCUGGCUGAGUUCUCAUACAAUAAUAGUUAUCAAGAGAGCAUCAAGAUGGCCCCGUUCGAAGCUUUGUAUGGGCGGAGAUGUCGAACUCCGUUAAACUGGGUGGAACCUGGCGAAAGGAGAUACUAUGGUAUCGACUUUGUGAAUGAUGCCGAGAAAAAGGUGCAGAUUAUACAACAACAUAUGCAAGCAGCACAGUCACGACAGAAGAGUUAUGCUGAUAAGAGAAGAAGGCCACUUGAAUUCAACAUAGGUGACUAUGUGUACCUCAAGGUUACGCCAAUGAAGAAAGUUCAACGUUUCCGAGUUCGAAGCAAGCUUGCACCCAGAUAUGUGGGACCAUACCAAGUGCUAGAGAGGAAAGGCCCAGUGGCCUAUAAGAUUCAGUUACCUGAAGAGAUGAGCUCGAUCUUUCCGGUCUUCCAUGUGUCGCAACUACGGAAAUGUUUGAAAGUGCCUGAGCAAAGAAUUGAACCCCGAGGGAUCAAAAUAAAAGCAGACUUAGAGUAUAAAGAGCAGCCAGUGGGAAUCGUGGAUACCAAGGAGCGAGUAACCCGAAACAGAAUUGUCAGAACAUAUAAGGUGGUGUGGAGUCAUCAUGACGAUAGGGAUGCCACCUGGGAAACAGAGGAUUACUUAAAAAUAGUUUACCCAAAGUUUCAUAAGAAAUGGUUAGUAACCCAAAAUCUCGGGACGAGAUUUCCCUAAGGGGGGAAGGGCUGUAACACCCUAGGUGUUAAGCAUGCACUUAGUCUCACCAAAGUCAUGCAUAAGCAUUUCCAUCAAGCAUAAGCAUCAUGAGCAUGACACUCUUUUCAAAUUAUGAUUUUAUGUGCUUCAUUUCAUGUGCUUUAAUUAUGUUAAAAAUGUGAUGCUUGUUUCUAAAAUUGUGAAAUAUUCAAAUUAGGUUGCUUUAUGUGUAAGAAGAAUUAAGAAUAUUUUUGUGCAAUUUUUGGAGCUAUGGAAUUUGAGAAAUGGAGUUUAUACAAACUUUUCCAAAAUGAAUUUAUUUAAAACCUAGAGCUGAGUUUUAACUUGUAAUUCAAAUUUUGUUUGGAAUUUGGUCUUGCUUGUCAAAGCAAAGUUGUAGAGUUUUUAAUUUGGAACAACUUUGUUUUUGGGAGCAAGAGGUGAAAAUGAUUUUAAAUUGGUCCAAAUAAAUUUAGAAAGAAUUUGGAGAAAAGAAAUUCAAAAAAAAAAGAGAAAGGGGCAGGCCUCCAACCCCCCCUGGUCGGGACGCCGGCGCAGGCUCCCAGACCAUUUCGCCCGUUCUGUCCCCCGCGCCCUCCUUCUCCUUCCUCCUCCGCUCGCACCGCGCCGCAGCAGCCGCUCCUCCGCGCGCCAUUGCCGGAGAGAGCUCCGCCGCUCGUCGCCGGCCACACCAGAGCCUCAAGCUCGACGCCGAGAGCACCAGGGCACUCGCCGUCGCUAGGGUAAGCUCGUGCGAACGUUCUACCGAGGUGAGAGUCCGUCGAGCGCCGUGAAUCGCUCGCCGGAGUUACCCCGAGCUCGCCGGAGUACUCCGCCGCGGCGGAUCUAGCGUUUCCCUACGUCUUUUCGCUCGUUCUCUGUUGCGCUAGGUCGCUAGGAAGGUGAGGAAGCUCGGAGAGGCGUUUGCGCACGCUCUACCGCGCCGGAGCAGCCUGGCCACGGCGAGCAGCGCCGCCGUGCCGCCAUGCAUGCUCGCCGGAGGUGUUCCGGCCGCCCUCUGGUCGAUCCAAGGGUACCGUUGGGUGCGUCUUGCUGCGGGGAGCACGUUGGUGCUCACCCCGUGGCCGGAGACCUCACCGCCGGCGAGAUCCGCUCGUCGGAGGUGAGCUCCCUCUCGGUCUCGCUGACUGGUGGGGUCGGGGACCCACUGUCAGUCGCAGGGGUACCCCGGUGGGUGUAGAUCUGGGUGUGCGUAGCGUUUUUCGUCGGUUUUCUUGAAAAAGUGUUUUCCAGAAAUUGAUUUAAAGUUUGUAAAAUCUAUAUCUUGAGUUCUACAGCUCCAAAUUGAAUGAAAUAAAUUUUGGUGUGCUCUAUAUUUCCAGAUCUACAGUUUGAUGUAAUUGCAUGUCAUGUUGGAGCAACUUUUCUGUGUGAAUAUAUUUUAUCCAUGAUUUUGUUAAACUUGGAAAAUGCAUAGUAAAUGAAAUAUGGCUCAGAAAAAUGUGAAACUUGUUUUGCUGGCUCUGCAUGUGUGUUUAAUCACUGAGAAAAUAUUGUUACAUAUUAUUUGGUGUAUAAAUGAAUUUAUGGUAAUUUAAAUGCUUGCAUGGCAGUGCUUUAUGAUUUUUAAUAAUUAAAUGGGUCAUGCAAUAAAUCUGGAAAAAUUUGUGGGUAUUUCUUAUGAUAUUAGAUAAAUUGUAAAAAUAUGAAAUCUGUUGUUUGACACUUAUAUCACAGUAGGGUGAUUAUACUUGCCUUAUCCAUUAAUCUUGUGAUUUUUGUGGCUCAAAAUAAGUAACCAAAAAUUAUGAAAAAUUUAUAGUAGACUUUAUGAUUAGCUAGUAGUCUCCUGUAAUUUUUCUGGAAUUUAUUGAUGAACAGAAUUGCAUGUGAUUUUUAAUGGGCUUAGAAAUGAAUAAAGAAAAUUAUGAAUGGUUGUGUAUGUGGGUUGAAUGGACUAAGUUGGGUUUGGUGUAUCUUUGAAGCAUCAUGUAGGUUGCUGAUUUCAUUUGAAAAAUAAUUAUAGAAGAGAAUGUAAUAGAUGUUUGGUUCAAUUGUUUAUUCUUGGAUGAUGUUGACUACCUUGUAAUAAGCAUGACCAAGUGCAUUACCUAUGCAUCAUAACAUGACUCCUUUGGUACUCCCUCAUGUAAGCAUCCACUCGGGCAUCUCGCACUCCACUCAUGAGCAUGUAUGCAUCAUACAGGCUCGCAGGAGAACGAGGUGGGAACCGAGGAACCCGACGAGCUUCAGGAGCAGGAACCUCCGGAAGCACAGGAACCCGGAGAGGAAUUGCAGGAGUGUCCGGAUCACCGACCCAGCACGUUUGAGAAAGGCAAGCCCCGGAGCAUUCUAAGUCUCCCUAUUCUCGCUAACUUAUAUAAAGUGCUAUACUUGUUCUACUGUAUUGCAUAUUAAGUGAUAGGAGUUGCCUGAUACCGUUGCUGCAUGAGUACUCCUUGUUAUUACUACUCAUUCAACUACCUUGUCCUAUGUAGAUAGGCACGGAGUCUAUGCUUAGCUUGCUUAGUUCGGUAGAAGUCGGGUGAUUCCCUGUCACCUGCGAGAUAUAGGUGGAUACCUGCUUGAUUAAGCAUUGGUUGCUCGGGGAAAAGAAUAACCAAGUGUGGAACGAAUUUGGAGACCGGGCGGGGUCUUAUGGUGGGUUGACCAUGGUGCCCCUGCCUGUGUCGAUUAAGGACCGAUCGUUGACGGCCCUCUUGUCAUGUUGAACGCAUGCCCCACACUUAGCUGGAAGGAUAAGUCGUUCCGACCGCGAAGCCUGAACACUAUCCGGGCCGGGAAUCGAGCCGCCAUGCGCUGUAUUGGUGAUGGUUGAGGAGAACGACGAGGGCGCGGCGCGCAACCUUGGUAUACCUUGGAUACCUCGGUCGCCGGAACGGUCCUCGGGUACUGGCGGUGCCUGCCGAACCCGCGAAUUGGUCCUGGAUAGUGUAAUACGGUGAUCUGUAGCUCACUUGAUCAGUGAGUGUGGUUUGUGUGGGGAAUACCUCGCCAGCUGGUUAGAAAUCGAUUCGAAUUGCCAUCGCUCCUGGAUAGUGAGCACUUGACAUGAGCUUCGUCCUCGUAGUAAGGACUAUGGAACACUUGGGUUAUAAUGAAACGGGUUUAUGACUGCUGUGAUGAGGUACUAUCAUAGUCUCAUACUUGCUUGUAAUAGCACUGGAGCAAACCUAGAUAAUAGAUAAUGAUACUUUCAACUUGAGCAGAUUAAAAGAAGAAAAGAUUUAUGUAGGUUUGGGUAAUAAAACCUUGCGGUCUUUGCAAAAUGGUUGUCAGCUACCCCACCAAAUAGCCUUCAUGAUCCUUGAUGAGUCUUUAUUUUAAGUUUAUGACGGGUAAGUCUAGCUGAGUACCUUCUCGUACUCAGGGUUCUAUUCCCAUGUUGUUUUGCAGAUGGUCAAAUGUACUAUGGUUAUUGCAUCCUCUGUCUGUACCCAGCUAUGGGUGAUGACUAGACCAAGGGCGAUGGUCACUCCGUCUCUUCUUUUGCUUUUGUGGGAAUGACCGAACUAUGGCACUGUAUCAGACUUAUCGUGUGUGUUGUAAUUUCAAACUAUGAAGCUUCCGCUACUUGAAGAACUUGGUUUGUAAUAACUUUAAGCACUCCGAUGUAUUUUAUGAAUGUUGUAAUCUGGAUGUGCUUGUGGAUGGCGACCGCUAAACUUAUUACGAUCUUGGCUGUAUAUGUGAUGUGUGGUUUGAAAUCCUUCGAGAUUUCACGGACUACCGGGAUUAUAUGGGCUUAAGCGUGAUAGUUCGACUACGCAAAUGGUCACUAUUAGGCUUAAUCUCUUAUAAUUUGGUCGGUUCUGUUACACCAUCAACCAGAUGCCUUCCGAUAAGGCGCUCGGUCCGGAUGGCUUUACGGGCCUUUUUUUCAAAGAAUGUUGGGACAUUAUUAAGGUGGAUGUCAUGAACACAGCCAAUGCUUUCCAUUAGCUGCGCACCUCCAAUUUAGCCAUUCUCAACACAGCGAAUGAGGCGGUCUCAGACUUUAGACCCAUAAGCUUAAUUCACUCCUUCGCAAAGAUCAUCACAAAGGUCAUGGCAAUGCGCCUAGCGCCCCACAUGAACAGAUUGAUCUCCAAGAGUCAGAGUGCCUUCAUUAAAAAAAAGAAGCAUCCACGACAACUUCAUGUAAGUUCGAUGUGUCGUGCGUCGAUUCCAUAGAGCCAAGACCUCUGCCCUGUUUUUCAAGCUUGACAUUUCAAAAGCUUUUGACUCGGUCCACUGGGAGUACCUACUCACUCUAAUGAGCAAGCUCGGCUUCCCCCAAAAAUGGAGGGAGUGGAUGGCUGCCCUAUUAUCAACGUCAUCUUCUCGAAUCCUUCUAAAUGGUGUCCCCCAAUGCGCCUAUUAAACACGGCAGAGGAGAUUGCCAGGGGGAUCCUCUGUCACCGUUGCUUUUUGUCAUUGUGAUCGACCCUUUGCAGAAGAUCCUUGACCUUGCAACAGAAGAAGGACUUUUGAAAAAAUUCAAGGGGAAACAUUCUUUAAUGCGGACAUCCAUGUAUGCAGAUGACACGACAAUCUUCAUCAAAGCCAAAUAAGAAGGAUGUCACUGCAAUCGCCGAUAUUCUCACCAAGUUUGGUGAAGUAACAGGUUUCAAAACAAAAUUUGGGAAGUCGUCUGUCAUCCCCAUAAGAUGUCAAGGUGUUGAUCUUGAUGAGGUACUAUGUGCUUUCCCUGCUAGACGAGCGCACUUCCCAACUAAAUACCUAGGUCUACUCUUAUCAAACACCAGACUACGGAGGAUCGAUUUUCAGCCUCUUAUUAAUAAAGCUGUGAGUAAGCUCACUGUAUGGAAUGGCAAAAAUAUUAAUCAUGCAGGAAUGUCCACUUUGGUCAAAGCGGUACUCACCUCACAAUCGGUGUAUUGCCUAACAUCACUAACAGCUCCUAAAUCCACACUGAAGGAAAUUGACAACCUAAGAAAGAGCUUCCUCUGGGCUGGGUCCGAGAAGCUAACCGGAGGAAAAUGCAAAGUGAAUUGGCCACACUCCAUAAGGCCAAGUGAUUCUGGGGGUCUAGGCAUUCUUCAUCUCGGAAAAUUUGCAAGAGCACUACGUCUUCGAUGGCUAUGGAAAGAUUGGGAGGGAGAAGGAACAAUCCUGAACAACCCAGACUUGCCAUGUGACGUUACCGGUAGGCUACUUUUCGCUACAGCAACUUCAAUCACAAUUGGUGAUGACAUGAGAGCUUUCUGGAGCAGCGCAUGGCUGCAAGGCCAGAGGCCGCAAGAUAUAGCACCAAAUAUUUUUCAGAUCUCAAAAAACAAAAACAAGUCAAUCUACGAGGGCAUGCAAAAUAAAGCGUGGAUUAGGGACAUAGAUAUGCGACAUACAAGCUUCAGCCCCCAACACUUCAUGGAAAAUGUCCAGCUUUGGAACGCUCUCAGCCACAUCGAGCUACAUCCGGACCGGGAGGACAACAUUGUUUGGAAAUUUAACCUGAAUGGAAAAUUCACAACGGGAUCGGCCUACCAUGCACAAUUCAUUGGAGCAACAGUGACAAAUUUCAAUUGCCUCAUCUAGAAAGUUUGGGCACCACCAAAGUGUAAAUUUUUUGCAUGGCUAGCCAUCCAAAAUAGGAUAUGGACGGCGGAUAGGCUUCAAGCGCGUAGAUGGCCGAACAAUGGAGUGUGCGCCUUAUGCAGGCAUAGUCAAGAAUCUGGUGUCCAUCAAUUUCAAGACUGCCGCUAUAUAUACUAGGUGUAUCUGGGAGGGCAUUGCAAUAUGGUUGGGUAAUAAACAGCUGCGUCCUUCCGCCUAGGUGCCAGCAGACUCUGUACAAAGUUGAUGGGACAACAUGGAUCACACACCUUCGAUGGCAAGGCGAGGCCUUCGUUCGAUCAUCAUCCUCAUUUGUUGGGAGAUCUGGAAAGAAAAAAAUGCACGAAUCUUUGAGCACAAGGACUCUGUGACAGUGCAGCUCCUCCAGAAAAUCAAGGAUGAGGCAAGAGCACGUUUCUAACUUAUUUUUACACGUUUGAUGUAAACUGUUCUUAAGGCAAGGUUUUGGAGUUGUGGCCAUUUUUUUGGAACUUUUCUGUAUAUAUGGUUGUACAUCUAGGCUCCUUCUCUUUAAUACAAUAGGCAGCUCACCUGCCGGUUUUGUUUUAAAAAAUAUAGAGGGGGGAUGCCAUUUCCCAAGAACAAGGGCGCCACGAGUUUAUCGGUAGGUCAUGGCAAAAUGAAUGGCUAACAUACGGGCAUUGGGCUUAAUCCACUAAGGAAAUCGCUGGACACACCAGAUGCGUGUUUUGCAACCUUAUUGUCACAGCAUUCUCGAGAAACAUUUUUUAAAAUUUGGUUUAUUCUUAUUUUAGAUUUUCUGGUGCCAUUUUGCAAAUAAAGAAAAGGUCCAACUUCCUCCCACUAAGAUUGGCUAUGAUUAUUUGUAAAUUAAUUUAUUUGCUCUAUCGAACCACGUGCUUCAUCAGGAGGCAGAAAACUAAGAUACUAAUAUAUUCCCUUUUAAAAAAAGAAAUUCCUCCAUCCUAAAUUAAAUUAACUUUCUAAGUUAUAUUAAAUCAAGCUAAUUUAAUUUUAAUCAAAUUUAAUGUGGUACCAAUAUUAAUAAUGCUGAAUUAUUAGUAUAAAUAGAGCUGCACUCGUUGAACCAACAUGUCAAGCUCUGAUCUCUUUUGCAAUGGGCUGAAUGUGCUCAAAUGAAAGAGCCCUAACUUAGAGUUGGUCUAAUCUAAAUCCAGUUUUACGCAAUGAUGAGAAACAUCAUAAAUUGUGCUGUAGCAAACAAAAUAUACUAUCAUAGUGCAACAUUAACCCACCGCCUAUCAUUUUGCUUUUGAGCCAAGCCACGCAUGAAACCAUCAAGACAUGUACAUCGAGUCAGACCGGGGGCUCCGGUUUCACAUCGCACGUCCGAUUUCCGAAACAUCGCGGCGCGCCAACCCAAUCCAUUCAGAAUCAGGCAGCAAUCAGCCUCCGAAAAAAAAAAAGCAUCACGUGUUGAUCGUGCCAGAAUUAAAGGUGAGAACCCAAAACCACGGUUUCACACGGCACGCACCGCGCGGAUUCCGUCGUUCCCACUCCCAUCCGCCUUCCGUCCGCCUACAUAUAAAAAUCUCCUCCCCUCCCGAGUCCAUCGCCAUCCCCCGAAACCAUCCGUCACAUAUACAACUCCUCCAUCCCAAUUCCCAUUCCCAGGCGCAGCGCGACAAGAAGAAGAUCAAGCAGCAGCAGCAAAAGCUAGCGGCAAGGCAAGGAGAUCAAGAGAAAUGGCAACGGCGGCGGGGAGCAUCCAGCAGGGCCACGGCGCCCGGUUCGCGGCGGCGUGCGACGUGCUGAGCCGGUACGUGAAAGCGGCAGCGGCAGCGACGACGACGACGCCGGUGGAGCAGCCGCGGCCGUUGCCAGGCACGGUAGUAGGGGUGGUACUCCCUCUGAUGCCCGGCGCGGACCUGUCCACGCAAGCAGAGGAGCUGGCCGAGGCGGCGGAUCAAGCGGGGCCGGCGCCGAGAGCGCAGCAGCUGAUGACCAUCUCGUACGGCGGGCGUGUGGUGGUGCUCGACGACGUCCCCGCGGACACGGCCGCCGAGCUGCUCCGGCUCGCGGCCGCCGCCGCCGCGCCGCGGGUGCUGCGAGCGCCGGAUGAUCUGCCCAUGGCGAGGAAGGCGUCGCUCCGGCACUUCAUGGAGAAGCGCAAGGGCCGGGUCGCCAAGCGCGCUUCGCCCUACAGCCGUCCGGGUGAUGCUGGAGCCGCCGCGGCGUCGUCGUUCCCGGACCAUCUCGCCCUCUCGCUCUGAGACAAUACUAGUACAUACAGUACAGUUUGUACUACCCCUAUACUCUAGUAGGUGUUUGUUGAUUGUACAGGCCGGGGAAAAACUCUACUAUUUCAGUUCUGAGGCUUUGUUUAGAUCUGUAGCACUUUCAUUUUUAUUUGAUAAAUAUUGUUCAGUUAUAGAGUAACUAGACUUAAAAAGAUUAGUCUUGCAAUUUACAGACUGUGGGGGUAUAAACCCCUAUACCCUUACGGCUACACUUGGGCCAGGAGGCUUGACCCAUUACGAGACAAGUUCGAGGCUUGAUCCGACAGCUCGGAGUUUCACGCAAGGGAACAAGACGUGGAGAUCAAGCAAGAUUCUAGUCGGUUAAAAUAGGAAUUGAUACCGAACUAUUUAUGGCAAUCGUAACCGACUAGGAUUAGUUUCCAGAUCUGUAACCCUGCCUUCCGGACUAUAUAAGGAGAGGCAAGGGACCCCCCUAGGACAUCAUUAUUCUCUCAACACAAAUCAAUACAACCAGACGCAGGACGUAGUUAUUACGCAAACUCGACGGCCGAACCUGGAUAAAAAGCUUGUCCGUGUCUUGCGUCACCAUCGAGUUCGUAGUUUGCGCACCGUCUACCGAUAAACUACUACCGUGGGUAUACCCCAAGGUAGACUGCCGACUAGCUUUCGUCGACAGUGGCGCGCCAGGUAGGGGGUGUGCAUGCAACUUCUCCGGCGAACAAGAUGGUCACAAUCCCAGCUUCCGCGGCCGUUUCUGAAGGCCUCACGUUCACCAUCGGCCAGAUCACGUGGACGACGCGCGGCGGUGGUCUCACCAACACGGUUUCGGAAGGAACCCAGAUCCAGUCUGGGAUCACGUCGGCUCCGACCACUCGGGUGACGGCUUCGAGCGCCCGACCACCGCCCCCGCUCUACAAGGGGAGGAAGAUCGACUGCUCUGACCUUCUCCAAGCACUUGACCGCGCCGAUUCCAAGCUACUUGAAGCUUCCCAACUAGUAGACGGAAUCUUGCGACAGCCCGAUCAAGCCGCCCCAACGGAUUUUUUCAAAUCCCACCGGCCAACUCGUGUCGUUACACACGAACGGACGGGAACGUCUCUGACGAUAAGCUCGACUCCCUCAGGACGAUCUGUCAAGACCAAGGUCAACCCGGAGGAAGAUUAUCCGCGCGGUCUGAACAACUCGGCUUCUCUCUACUCGAGACACGUCCGAUCCCUCUUUAACAAAGCUGGUUGGUUGCCAAAGGCGAGCAGUCGACCAGCUCGUCAUUACGUCAACAUGGUGACGAUCCAAGAGCUACGGGACGGCCAGGCUUCCAGCACAAAUUCGAGCACUGGUUCCGUCCCCACUGAAGUCAUAAAUUCCGAGGACGAGGACUACGACUUAGAUUUCCCGUCACACCCUCCGGGCUUCCCUCGUUUCCCGAUCUUCCCACCACGGCGUGGAGACAUCGUUUUCAACGUCAGCGCCGACGAGCCGGUCGUUGACGGAGAAAUAGACGAGCAGAGGCAGCUCCGCGAGCAGCGUAACGCCGAUCGCGCCUGACGACGCGCGGACGAGGAACGUCAAAUCCCGCCGCAUAAUCUCAGCGACGCUUUUGACAUGGUCGGAGAUCAGCAAGUCUAUAAAACUCCCAGCGCCAAUGUGGCCGUCGCUAUGGCUAAUCUAGACCGGCUCCCCGAUACCCCUGAGUGCCAAGGGGUCCGAACCAGCGUCCGAGCACACCUGAUCGCCGCAAUGGGACAGACAGCCACUCUGCUCAAAAGAGUCCAGGCCGUCUCCUAUACAGAAGCCACCUCCGACCAGACUCACCGUAGCCGGACCUCACCGCAGCCCAACAGGCACCACCACAACCGUUCCCCCGACAACCAUCGAACAGAUUCACGGCGUAACGACGGCGGUCGGGAAGCUGGCGGUCACCGCGAGCAGAAUCGUAGGCGUGGUCAAGAAGUAAACCAGCACAGGGAUCUUCGGUAUAACAUCCCUCCCAAAGACGCCCGGGACCGCAUCAACAGGCGCGCCACGGAGAGAGCAGUCCACGAAAACCUGCGUCGUAUCGAGUAUGAUGCAACGCAUGGCCCUCCGGGCCUGAGACAGUUCUCCUCACACCUCCGCCAGGUCGUGUGGCCCCGCAAUUUCAAGCUCGAGAAACUCAAAAAAUACGACGGCAAGGAAAAUCCAGAGAACUGGAUCACUCUCUACGAAAUCGCCGUCCGAUCAGCAGCAGGAGACGAGCACGUCAUGGCCAACUACUUCCUAGUAGUCCUUGACCAGGCUGGUCAUCAGUGGCUCCUCGGCCUGCCCGAGGACUCCUUCGAUUCUUGGGAAGAGCUACGCCAGGCUUUCAUCGACAACUUCAUCGCCACAUGCGAGCAUCCUGGAAACAAGUACGACCUCGAAAGGAUAAGGGACAGGAAAAAUGAACCUUUGCGCGAUUACAUCCGACGAUUCUCGGAUAUGCGCCUCAAGAUCCCGAAGAUUUCCCACGACGAGGCCAUCUCUGCCUUCAUCAAAGGCCUACGUUUCCACGAGGCACUGAGAAACAAGCUGUUGCGCAAAAGGCCAACAACGAUGGCUGAGCUCCUUGCCACGGCUAAAAAUUACGCCAAUGCCGACGACGCAGAAAAACUAAUCCGGGACGAUGCGAGAGGUCCCGACCAGCCCCCUCGGCGAGAUGACAGUUGUGGUCGUUUCGACAACAGGAACCACCACCGCCGCGACAACCGUGAUCAAAGAGAAGGCUGGGACAGGCGGCGCGACAAUCGCAACGAUUUCAGAGGAAAGCGCCCCCGUGAACACGACCACGAAGUGAAUACGGUCAAGCGUCCCAACGGGCGGCGGGACUACCAAGAAGACUACAACAAAACGCUGAAGGGACCGUGCCAGCUGCACCCAAAGUCCAAUCAUACCAUGGAAGAGUGUCGCGUCCUCAAAAACAUCUAUACGCGGCGGGCCGCCCAAGACGACUCUGCCAAGAAAAAUGGAAAACGAGACGGGCACGACCACGAAGACGAGGACGAGGACCAAGAUAGGGACCGACGACACCAAUAUGUCAGUCCCACCGACGUGGUCCACUCCAUCUUCGGGGGCAAGGUCUCCAUCGAAUCUAAGCAUGAAAGAAAGCUAUUAAAAAGAGCCUGCCUCAACAUAGACAGCACGGACGGCCUGAUCGCAGACCCGAAAUUUCCCCCGUGGUCGCACAGGGAGAUCUCCUUCAGCAGGAAGGAUCAGUGGGCCGCUAUCCCAGAGCCAGGUCGUUUCCCUCUAAUCCUGGACCCUUGCAUCAACAGCAUCAGAUUCGAGCGCGUGCUCGUGGAUGGAGGAAGCUCCAUUGACAUCCUCUUCCGCAACAGCCUGCCCGCUCUCAAGAUAUCUCCGGCACAACUAAAACCCUACGAUGCUCAAUUCUGGGGAGUCUUGCCAAGUCAGAGUUCAGUGCCCCUCGGACAGAUAACAUUGCCUGUCCAAUUCGGCACGCCCGACCACUUUCGAACAGAGUUCGUCAACUUCGUGGUCGCUGACUUCGAUGGGACCUACCACGCCAUACUAGGCCGACCAUCGCUGACAAAAUUCAUGGCGGUCCCACACUACUCAUACCUGGUCCUCAAAAUGCCUACGGAGAAGGGCGUCCUGACCGUCAGAGGCAAUGUUUACACCGCAUAUACUUGCAAGGAAGAGAGCUUCAAGAUCACCGAAGCGAUUGAUCUCUCGAUCCGGAUGGCAGAAACAGCAACCCAAGCCGCACAGCUACCUCCCGACCAGCUCCGACUACCCGAGCAGGAGACCGCCAGGAAGAAUUCAAAAUCCAAGGAGCAUAAAGAAGUGCAACUGGUCGAUGGCAGCCCCGAGAAGACAGCCCUCAUCGGGGCCAACCUGGACCCCAAAUAGGAAGACGCGCUCGUCAGGUUUCUAAGGGACAACGUGAGCGUUUUCGCAUGGAAACCCGCAGACAUGCCCGGCGUCCCGCGAAACCUGAUUGAGCACUCCUUAAACGUCUCGAAGACCGCAAGACCAAUCAAGAAAAAGUUGCGACGGUUCGCUCGUGACAAAAAGGAGGCUAUUAGGACAGAAAUAACACGGCUUCUAGCAGCCGGAUUCAUAAAAGAAGUGUAUCAUCCCGAUUGGCUCGCCAAUCCGGUCCUUGUACGCAAAAAGAAUAAUGAAUGGAGAAUGUGUGUUGAUUACACUGAUCUCAAUAAACACUGUCCUAAAGAUCCUUUUGGUCUCCCUCGCAUCGACGAGGUGGUCGACUCAACGGCCGGAUGCGAACUCCUCUCUUUUCUAGACUGCUACUCUGGUUAUCACCAGAUCUCGCUAAAGGAAGAAGACCAGAUAAAAACGUCUUUCAUUACUCCUUUCGGCGCAUACUGCUACACGACCAUGUCGUUCGAACUCAAAAACGCCGGAGCCACCUAUCAAAGGGCCAUCCAGCAAUGCCUCCACGACGAGAUCCGCGAUGACCUCGUCGAGGCCUAUGUAGAUGACGUCAUCGUCAAAACAAGGGAUGCAAGCACCCUAAUCGACAACUUAGACCGAACCUUUAAGGCGCUAAACAAGUACAAGUGGAAGCUUAACCCCAAAAAGUGCAUCUUUGGCGUCCCUUCCGGUCUACUGCUCGGCAACGUCGUCAGCCGCGACGGCAUACGACCGAAUCCUUCAAAAGUAAAAGCAGUACUCGACAUGCGACCACCUAAAAAUGUCAAGGAUAUUCAGAAGCUUACCGGAUGUAUGGCCGCACUCAGCCGCUUCAUCUCAAGACUAGGGGAAAAAGGCCUCCCUUUCUUCAAACACUUGAAGGCAUCGGAAAAAUUUUCUUGGACAGAGGAAGCCAACGCUGCGUUCACCUAGCUUAAGACUUUCCUCACUUCCCCACCCGUUCUUACAGCGCCUCAGCCCAAUGAAGGCCUACUCCUUUACAUUGCUGCAACCGACAGGGUUGUUUCCACAGCAAUAGUGGUCGAGCGGGACGAGCCAGGACAUGUUUACAAGGUCCAGCGACCCGUUUACUUCAUAAGCGAAGUCUUAAACGAAUCCAAGGCAAGAUAUCCACCAAUACAGAAACUCAUAUACGCCAUUCUAAUAACAUCGAGAAAGCUAAAGCACUACUUCGACGGCCAUCGAGUCUUGGUAACCACCAGUUUCCCUCUCGGGGAUAUUCUGCGCAACAAAGACGCAAACGGCAGAAUUGUAAAGUGGGCAAUGGAGUUAUGCUCGUUCUCUCUGGAAUUCCAGAGUCGCACCACAAUCAAGUCUCAAGCCCUCGUUGAUUUCAUUGCAGAAUGGACAGACCUUAACGAAACUCCCGUUCCCGACGUCUCCGAUCACUGGUCGAUGUUUUUCGACGGGUCCUUGAACAUCAACGGUGCCGGCGCUGGGAUACUAUUUGUGUCGCCUAACAAGGACAAGCUGCGUUACGUCCUUAGGAUCCUCUUUUCGGCAUCCAACAACGUCGCCGAGUACGAAGCAUGCUUACACCGCAUCCGACUAGCCGUUGAGUUGGGAGUCAAACGCCUCUACGUCUAUGGCGACUCCGCUUUGGUCAUCAACCAGCUCAACAAAGAAUGGGACGCGACCCACGAAAAGAUGGAUCUCUACAGCAAUGAAAUUCGCAAGUGGGAGACCAACUUCUACGACAUAGAAUACAUCCACGUGGUCCGGGAUAAGAACCAAGCAGCAGAUGUGUUGUCAAAGUUAGGAUCAUCUCGGGCCCAGAUCCCGCGGGGUGUUUUCGUCCAGGACAUCCAUGAGCCAAGUGUGGGCUCCACCCUGGUCGAAAAGCAACCUAUAGAAACAAUGCUCAUAAACGAUGGCACUCCGACAACCAGUGGUCGUGAUUGGCGCACCCCGUUCAUCAAGUACAUAUUGGACGGGUCAGGUUUUUAGGAUAAAGCAGAGAACGAGCGCCUCAUUCGACGAUCAAGGAAUUACAUACUGGUGGACGGCAAACUUAUGCAAAAAAAUGCAAGUUCUGAAGUGCUGCUCAAAUGCAUAUCCCAGGACGAUGGCAUCAAGCUCCUAGACGACAUACAUGCUGGAUCCUGCGGCAAUCAUGCUGCCUCCAGAACGCUGGUCGGGAAAGCUUUCCGAGCAGGUUUUUAUUGGCCAACCGCGGUCAACGACGCAGAAAAACUGGUCCGACAUUGUGAGGGAUGUCAGUUCUUCGCUAAAAGGACCCACGUACCCGCUCACGAGAUUCAAACUAUCCCGUCGUCCUGGCCUUUCGCCUGCUGGGGGCUCGACAUGAUCGGGCCAUUUAAACCGGCCCCUGGUAACUUCAAGUUCGUCUUCGUAUUAAUCGACAAGUUUUCAAAGUGGAUUGAAUACAUGCCACUGGUCAAAGCAACCUCCGAGAAGGCUGUGGAGUUCCUCAAUCAAAUCAUACACAGAUUCGGGAUCCCAAACAGUAUAAUCACCGACCUGGGUACUCAGUUCACUGGCACCACAUUUUGGGACUUCUGCGAUGACAGAGGCAUAGUCAUAAAAUACGUGUCAGUAGCUCACCCACGAGCAAAUGGCCAAGUUGAACGUGCAAACGGAAUGAUCAUUGACGCCCUAAAGAAAAGAUUGUACACCGAGAAUGACAGAGCACCUGGUCGAUGGAUGAAAGAGUUGCCGGUCGUGGUCUGGGGUCUCCGAACACAGGCUAGUCGGAACACCGGGGUGUCACCCUACUUCAUGGUUUACGGCACCGAGGCAGUGCUACCAUCUAAUAUAACCUUCGGAUCUCCAAGGAUCGAAAACUUCGACCAGUCAACGGCCGACAACACCAGGGAACUCGAAAUCAACUGCAUGGAAGAAAAGCGUCUAAAUUCGUGCCUCCAGCGCACUGGCAAGCUCUUGGCUGAGCUGCUCCUUCUCCUGCCGAAGGCGUGCGACCUCCUCCUCCAAACCUACAUGAAUAGUCCUCUGGUCAGCGAAGUCAACCAACGCGACUACAAACAGCUGACUCGGAGUGCGAGACUAACCUUCUCGCUGCCGAAACUGAUCGGCCAAGCGUCGGGUAAGCUCGAGAUGGUGCUCUUCCUGAGCGCUCAUCUCGGAAACUUUUUCUCCAACUUCCGACCGAAGCCGGUCCACCUCUGCGGCCAGGGCCUUGUUCUCGGCCACGAUGCCUUCUAUUUGGUCGAAGCACCGUUUCCGAUACUUCGUCGUUUUCAUUGCGCCCUGCAAAGCGAAUAUAUGUCGACCAAGCAAGACAACGCACGAAAAUGUCCAGCAGUGCAAAGAAUCACUUACCUUGACUUCGUCCACAAGACGUUUGGCCGCACGCUCCACUCUGGCGGCCUCUUCUGUCUCGGCGAGCUCCUCAUGCCCGAUAAAGUGGUCCUCGCGUUGGCGCCACACAUAUACGUGUUGGCGGCCAUCGCAGGGACGACCUUCAAUCUCCUCCACCUCGUCGUCGGAGGCCGCCUGGGUUUCCUCGCCCGCUGCAUCGCCACCGGUGGUGGUCGCAGGCAUUACAGGCCCCUGGACCAGCCCCGGGGAGCCUGCAGUCGAAGUGGCUCCUGCCCGGGGCGGCGUGGGGACCUCCCUCCCUUCGACGGGGGGAGGGGUCGGGGCUCUGCCCUCCUCUUCUGUGGCGUUACUCGGGGGAGGCAUCCCCGUAGCCUCCUCGACCCUUGUCGGGCUGCUCGCCGUAGGCUGUGCGGCGGCCGGGAGCUCCUCGGUGCUCUCAGGCACGGCUGCAGCCGCAAGCUGCUCCGCGGUCUGCGGCGCCGCGUCAUCAGCAGCACAAGCAGGCUCGACCACCCCCUGGCCGGCGAGGUGGUCGGGGUUGACAUCGACGCCGCGCUAAAACAGCAAAGUACUAUCAAAAAAAAAAUCGCCAAAAUACGUAAGUCGAACACUUACAGGUCUGAACGACGGUGGGUCGCGGUGAAUCUCCUCCUUGCCCGGCCGGUCGGCACCUGCGCCCCCAUCUCGACAACGCGCGGAGCAGGAGGGUCGCUGGCCACCCGAUCAGUAGUGGCCGGCGCACUGUCCGGGCGGCUACGAGGUCGUCGGACUAGCGACGGUGCGGCCUCCUCCUCCUCGUCGUCGUCGUCGGUGAUCCGGACGAGCCGACGACGCUUCGGCGCUUGGCUGCUCUCCGCUGGCAGCGUCGGCGCAGGCGAAGGAUCCGUCGCCAUUGGCCUUUUCCCCGCCACUCUAUCCUCGGUGGUCGGGACGGGUCGGGCCUGCUCCUCCUCACUGCUGGUGUACCGAGUACACCGAGCAGCGUCUUCCUCUGGCGGAUCUUCCCCCGCAGGAUUCUCCAUCCCGGGUGCCAGUGACACAUACACUGUACACCGGUCAACAUCUCCGAUCUGCAAAAGUAACAAAGACAAGUUGGCAACUGACAAUAGCACAUGCUAAGGAGAAAUAAGCAGUAAGAUACCUUAGGUGCUGGUCGCCCCAACUUGAAGGCUUGCACCCGAUCACUUCCACGGACGAAGCCUCCGUCCGCGAAGUUGAACAGCUCGUUCAACAACUGCUGCACCUCUGCCUUCUCCAAGACCUCAGGAUGCAUCCUGGUCGGGUCCAUGCUUCCAGCAUACUUGUACGCCGAAUGCACCCUCUUCUGGCAUGGCAUCACCCGACGACACACAAAAUUGCCGACCACGCCUAGCCCGUCCAAGCGCGACCAGUCGAUCAGCUUUAUAAGGUCUGCCACUUGACCGUCGAAAUCUGGGCGAUCGGUCCAUCUUACCCUCUUCUCGGGGAUGUAUCCCACGUCGCAGAAUGUGGAGCUACCCGGUUCCUCCCUGAUGUAGAACCACUUCCUGUACCAUUCGGUCAGGGAAGUGUUCCAUGGACAGUGCAGAUAGCGGUUCUUCAUCCCGUCGCGAAGGUUGAGGUAUACUCCACCUGCAACCUUGGAGCCUCCAACCGCUCCCUUCUUUCUUAGACAAAAAAGAUAGCGAAAGAGAUCGAAGUGCGGUUCUAUGCCAACAUAGGCCUCGCACAAAUGGAUAAAAGUAGAAAUAAGAAGGAUUGAGUUCGGGUGCAGAUUGCAAAUCCCGAUCUCAUAAUACAAAAGAAGACCUUGAAGAAAAGGAUGAACAGGCACCCCAAAACCCCGCUUAAGGAAAUCCUCGAACACGACGAUCUCACCGGCGCGGGGGUCGGGGUAGCUCUCUCCCUCCGGUGCCCUCCAGCCGCCGAGCUCCGGGCUGUGCAGUAGCCCCAUGUCGACGAGGUCACCGAGGGACUUUGCGGUGCUGCGGGAUUUCUUCCAUUCCUUGGCCAUCAGCUCGGCCCUCUUCUUCGACUCGCUCUUCGCCAUUGGAGGUGCGGAAGUGGAUUCGAGUUAGCAAGGUGCAGGAGAUUGAAGGAGGCAAGAGCGGAAGGUUUGAAGGCAAUGGCAGGGUAAGCAGUACAGGGGAAACUGUCGAGCUCUUAUAAACCACAACUCCACCCCUCCCACUUCCCGCAUUCUCGGGAAGUGGGCGGGCCAUACGGUGGACGCGAUGUUUCAGUUUUCAAUGAUUAUCGACAAUUAAUGCGGCGGAGUUUUCGUCCAAAUUGAUGGUUUCCUUUUCUCAAACCGCGCAAAGGGCGGCCGUACAGUUGCCAGGCGCAACUUUUCAAGCUCCCAUCUGACAUCCCGUCAGGAGGUCUCGUCACGGCAACUUUUUUGUGGAAAAGUUUUUUCAAAACAAGCAGACAAAAAUGGUAGAGAGUCAACAAUCCGAGGACUGCACUGACCACCGAGCACUUGAUGCUCGGGGACUGGUCGACCAGUCUAUCAACUCGGAACUUCAAAGACCGCACUGACCACCGAGCACUCGAUGCUCGGGGACUGGUCGCCCAGUCUAUCAACUCGGAACUUCAAAGACUGCACUGACCACCGAGCACUCGAUGCUCGGGGACUGGUCGCCCAGUCUAUCAACUCGGAACUUCAAAGACUGUACCGACCACCGAGCACUCGAUGCUCGGGGACUGGUCGUCCAGUAUAGCAACUCAAAACUUCAAGGACCGCACCGACCAACGAGCAAUUGGUGCUCGGGUACUGGUCGUCAGAUUUGUUGACUGCUCCGGACACCGAGCGCUUGAUGCUCGGGGACUGGUCGCUUAGUUUGUUAAUUUGGAAAUCAGCAAGCUGAACUGUUCGCUGACCAUUGUACACCCGGGGACUGAUUGACCAGCUCGUCGAAUUGCAAACUCUAUGGUAAAUGAGCAUGAGAUGCUCGAGGACUGGAUAAUUCCGGUUUUUUAGACCUUGCUAUAAGGUUCAUACUACGCCUUCCAGCAAGCUCGGGGACUACAUCGGUACGAUGCACAUCGGUACGAUGCAUCUAGCGAUGCAUCUCACAUUCAAAACAGCUUUGAAGAUUCUUCUUUGGAUCCUGGCACCACGUAACUACGUCACCUGCUACCAGGCUCGGGGACUAAGUGGGCACACUUCACCUUGCGGUGAACUUGCUUGUCUUUUUGAUGGACCGUACUUUUCAGGAAAGUAAAGUGGGCACACUUCACCAAAAAAGGAAUAUUUUUUCUCAAGAGCACCUUGCAUUCUUCGAACAAUUGGCUUCUUCGACGAUGAAGUUAAUUGGAUGCUUUAGGAUUUGUUCAAGCUGUUGACGCAACUAUUUGGGCAAUUUUCAUAAUGAUUAAAGAUAUUAAGUUUCAUUGGUCGAAGAAGCUCAAGACGGCGUGUUACUUCACAAUACAUGGUGCUCGGGGACUAGUUGUGGGGGUAUAAACCUCUAUACCCUUACGGCUAGACUUGGGCCAGGAGGCUUGGCCCAUUACGAGACAAGUUCGAGGCUUGAUCCGACAGCUCGGAGUUUCACGCAAGGGAACAAGACGUGGAGAUCAAGCAAGAUUCUAGUCGGUUAGAAUAGGAAUUGAUACCGAACUAUCUAUGGCAAUUGUAACCGACUAGGAUUAGUUUCCAGAUCUGUAACCCUGCCUUCCAGACUAUAUAAGGAGAGGCAAGGGACCCCCCUAGGACAUCAUUAUUCUCUCAACACAAAUCAAUACAGCCAGACGCAGGACGUAGGUAUUACGCCAACUCGGCGGCCGAACAUGGAUAAAAAGCUUGUCCGUGUCUUGCGUCACCAUCGAGUUCGUAGUUUGCGCACCGUCUACCGAUAAACUACUACCGUGGGUAUACCCCAAGGUAGACUGCCGACUAGCUUUCGUCGACACAGAAAAAUUGUACAAUUAGUUUUUAUUUUUAUCUAUAUUUAAUGCUUUGUGUAUACGCCGUACGAUUCGAUGUGACGAGAAAUCUUAAAAAGUUUUUUAAUUUUUUAGGUGAACUAAACAAGGAAUGGAGAACUACAAUUUCUUACUCUCUCGAGUGGAUCAAAGACUAGGUAAAAAAAACAAUACGUACACCGCUAGUAGUCGGUGCGGGAAGCUUCUUGUUGGUAUGGUGCGGAACACGAACACGGGAUGGCUGAUGAGUACAAGUAGGCCGUCGCUUUCGGCAACCACUGGAGCGUGUCGGAGCUUCCCGCUGCAGCUGCAUGCAUGCACCGGCCGCUUCUGGUUUACCGUUGAAUUUACUUUCGCACGGCGGUCGGCUGUCGGGCUGGCGGAGGUCAAAGUCGAUCGUGUGCCCCGCGGCCCGGCACAUCGCGUGGGCGUGGGCGUGGGCGUGGCAAGGCACCGCAGCAUGCAUCCUCAUUCUCCCCCUCCCCCUGCGUCCGCCGGAAAUCUUGCGGUCCGAAAGUUCGGACGAAAGACGCCGUCCGACGGUUGCCGCUCAAUCAUUCCCGCGCGCACGACGGGGCUGCCAGGUACAUACUUUUUUUUUAUUUCUUUCCUUUUUUGUUUUUUCUUUCCUUUUCUUUUCUUCUUCUUUUCUUUCCUUUUAUGUUUCUUUUAUUUUUCCCUCCCGAUCGUUGCUGUUAGUUUUCUUUUUUUUUUAUUCUUUUUUUUUCUUUCUUUUUCUUUUUCUUUUUAUUUAUUUAUUUCCUUUUCUUUUUUCUUUUCUUUUUUCUUUUUUCUUAUUUUAUUUUAUUUUAUUUUUCUUUAUCUUUUCAUUUUCCUUCCUGCCCGUUGUUGUUCCUAUUUGUUUUUUCUUGGUAUUUUUUCUUUUCUUUAUUUUGUUUUUUUCUUUUUCUUUUUUCCUAAUUCAUGUUUAUAGAUUCAAUUUAUUUUUACUUUUCUUUUAUGUUAUUUUAUAUUUUUAUCUUUCUUUUAUUUUUUUUCCUCUUUAUUUUUUUAUUCCUUUUUGUGCUUCAUUUUUCCCAUUCUUUUUUUCAUUUUUUAUUUCAUUCAUCUUUUUAUUUUUUUUUUGUUUCUUUUGGCAACACAUUAAUUUAGUGCUGGUUACAAAGGUGUUUAUUAGAUUAUUUUUUGUGGAAUACAUGCACGCAUGUGAUUGAAACGCUACAAACGUCUUGAUAUUGAUCCUAUGGUUGUUGUUUAAUUUUUUUAGUGGACUAAUAUCAUAGGAAGCGAGUGAUAUUAUUUUUUGUUUCUGUUUCAUUCAAUUUUCCAUAUUAUUUUUUAUUUUAUUUUUUAUUUACUAUCAUUAAUUAGUUUUAUUUAUUCUUUUUUAUUUCUUUUUUGUCUUUAUGUUUUUAUAGAUUUUUUUAUUUUUCUACUUUAUCUUACUUAAUUAUUUUUUAUAUUUACUUUUUUCUUUUCUAUAUUUCAUGAGAUGUGAUGUAAAAUGAUGUUUUUUGCAACGUUUAUGUGGUAUACAAUGCCAUGUUUUUUGAUGUUUUUUUAUGAUGUUUAUGUAGUAUAUGUAAUGUUCUAUGGUUUUCUAUGAUGUUCAUGUGUUAUACAUGUAAUGUUCUAUGAUAUUUUUUUUGAUAUUCGUGUGGUAUUUUUGUGAUGUUCUACCAUUUUUUUUGUGAUGUUCGUGUAAUAUAUAUCUGAUAAUGCAAUAUUCUAUAUUGUAUUUGGCGAUGUUCUAUAUUGCAUUUGGUGAUGUUCGAUGGUUCAUUUAUUGAUGUUCACUUAGUAUAUAUGAUGAUGUACAUAGUGAUAUUCACGUAAUAUAUAUGUGAUGUUCUAUAGUGUAUUUAAUGGUGUUCUAUAUUGUAUUUAGUGAUGUUCUAUGAUGUAUUUAGCGAUGUUCAUGUUAAUGUUCGAUAGUGAAUUUAGUGACGUUCAUUUAGUAUAGAUGUUUUUUGAUAUAUUUAGUGAUGUUCAGGUAAUAUAUAUAUGAUGUUCUAUAAUGUAUUUAGUAAUGUUCUAUGGUGUAUUUAGUGAUGUUCACUUAGUAUACAUGUGGUGUUCUAUGAUGUACUGAGUGAUGUUCAUGUAAUGUAUUUGUGAUGUUCUAUAAUAUAUUUAGUGAUAUUCCGUAAUGUAUUUAGUUAUGUUCACUUAACAUACAUGUGAUGUUUGCCUUUUAUUUUUUCCAUAUUCCAUUGUAUAUGGUAUACACAUGAUGAAUGAGAUACUGUAUGAUUAUCUUUAAGUAUUUUCACAACAUAUUAUGUAGUAUUCAUACAACAUGUUAUGUAGUAUUUUAUACAACAUGUUAUGUAGUUUUUUCCCAUGUUCCAUUUGUUAUAUUAUACACAUGAUGUUCUACUUGUGUAAUGUUAUUUAUUAUAUAAUUCUAUAUUUUUAUUUUAUUUAUUUAUCGGUAUUAUAAUACCAAUCAUUUAAGUGUGUUUUCAUAUGGAAUAUUGUUUUUUCUAAAUUUAAAAUAUUUUUUUGUGAAGGCGGAAUAUUGUUUUAUGAAUCUAGAACACCACCUUUAUUCAAUAAUAAAAGAAAAUAAUCUAUCUUUAUGAAAUACAUAUUCGUUAAUAAAACUUUAUCUGAAUAUAUUCAUGUUGAGAUCUUAUUUUGAAGCAUUUAGUAUAAGGAAUCCAAUAGUGCAAUCUGAAUUUAAUUUGGAUACUUGAUUUGCUAGCUAUAACGAAGAUGGAACAUCGUCUCUUAUGAAGAUGGAACAUUAUUUUUUUUAAUGAAGAUGGAACAUCGUCGCCAUGUUUAUAAUACCAAUACGGUUCUUAGAAUAUUUUAUUAUGAAGAUGGAACAUUAUUUUUUAAACCUUAAACAUCGUCUCAGCUCAAUACAAAAAUGUUCUAUCUUUAUAUGAUAAUUAUUCGUUAUUAAAAUUUUAUCUAAAUAUAUCCAUGUGAGAUCUUGUUUUGAAGUAUUUAUUACAAGAAAUCAAAUGGUGUCAUCGAAAUUUAAUUUGUAUAUUUUGUUUAAGAGUUAUGACUUUUUUUUAUUAAAAGUCAUUAUAUGCAUGCGUCGUAGCUAACAUGGAUAUGUUGCUGCACUAUCUCCUCGCACCAGCUGCGCAUGAUAAAGUCACGAGCCAAAAUUAAUUAUUAUGGGUGAGAAUAAAUACGUACCAGCACCGGCAUAGAAAAAGUACAUUAAAGGUCUAAUUUGUAAACAGUCUGAAAACGACGUGCGCUGCAGAGGUAAAUGUAAUUUUCGGCACUAAAACCAUUAUCAACUAAUUCAUUCAAUAGCAGUCAUUUAGAAAAUGUAUAGCUCGCUCUCAAAAGAAACAGUUUAAAAAAACAGUCAAAAUAAUUCGGUCAACAAACAGUUAAUAAGGUUCAUUAAAUAUAUAAUCUACGGUGCCAUUCGAUAUCCUACAGAAAAAAGAGGAAUCGUCGUGGUCCCUUAAACACGCGAGGCGGGAAUCGGGGCGCGGGAGUCUGCCGGACGACGCUUUCCGUCCGAACGGCCGGACCCGACGAGGCCCCUGCGUCCGCCGGCCGAACUAUGAUUUUUCUACAUGCAUCCUCAUACUCGUCGUCUUCUACAUGCUAUAACUUUUUCGUUUGAAUUUUUCUAUCAAAUUUAUAUAUUAUUUAAUAAUAUUUUUUAUAAUAAAUUAGUAAAUAAUAAUUUUAAAUAUAAUUUUUUAGUCAAGCUAGUAGUGCCUCGGAUCGAUUUUAUAUAUCAAACAGUAUAUAAAAGACACGUUCCUUCUUCCAUCAAUCAAUUGAAGAAGACACGAUCCUUUACCACGACCACGAACACUCGUUUUUUAAAAACAAAAUGUAACAUGUACGUCUAUACAUACAUCAAAUAUAUUUAGCAAAUUUCUAGCUCCAAAAGAUUCAAGAAUUUCUCAAAACUGAUUCUAAUAACUCUUCUAGCUAGAGGCAUUCCAAUGGCCAAAGGCAUAUGCAUCAAUAUGAAUCAUUUAUGUACUUAAACAUCUUUAAUUUAGAUUUGAAACUACAUAUAUACGUACGUCUAGCAUCAAUAUUCCUAAAUGAACCAAGCUGUAGGAAAAGAUAUGAUAGGGGAACUAGACUUGCUUUUCUUUUUGACUCACUCUGAUGGGAGAAAAAAAGAACUUGGGCCGGGAGCUUUGAAAAACGACGUCUUAUUCCAAGCUACUCCCUUCGUCCAAAAAAAUAAAUCUCACUUCACAAAGUGCCCAAGAAUUUUAAGUUUAACUAAGUUUAUAGAAGAUAUUAUCUACAUUUUGAUCUCCAGUUAGAGUUUUAUCACGUUAAAAGUUAUGUGCAUAAGUUAUGAGUAUAACUUUGUAAUUUCCUAAAAUGAAAGGUUAUAAUUUCUUUUCCAAAAAAUAAACAUAAAAAAAUUUAAGAUGAUAAGUUGUUCUGUAAAAUGUUAUGCGCAUAAUUUUGUAUAACAUGUAACUUUGUAACAAUGAAAAUUAUAGAAAUAUUUAUUCCAAAAAAAUAAAAGUUAUGAUGAAAAAAUUGUGAUGCAAAGAUUUAGUAAGAAGUUAUGCAUACCAGUCUUAUGUGUAAUUUUGUAACUUCCCCGAAAAAGAAGGAAAAAUGCGGGAGUGGUUUUUUUUUCUAGAAAAGAAAAUUGUGUUGAUAAGAGCAUCUCCAACAGUUUUGUAUUUGGGGUUUGCAUUCUUAUAAUUUGCCAAAAUUAUCGAAAUGAGGUAUCCAAUAGUUUGCAUUUGUGUUUUGCAAUUUGGGCAACUUGGAAAUUGAGAGAGGAAACUUGGCAUAAAUGCAAGUCUGCGGGCCGCUUGGCAAACGCCGAUCGGGUCCUCCUCCUGUGCUCCUCCCGCGCGUGGGGGACUCGAUGAUGACCUGCAGCGUCUCGGAUACAGGUAUCAGGAAAUGGAAGCGACUUGGAUGCUCGCGAACUGGCGCGCGGCGACGAGAAAAUGUCGCAAAGAAGAAACGUGUGCGAUUAAAAGCGCGGGACCAGAUACGACGUGGAAGAAAAAUCGCGCCAAAUACGGUUGGGUCCACAAUUUUGGUUUUCCUAAGUCAACUAUGGCAAACACUUGGAGGUGACCUUUUUUUUUACUUGCCAUAUCGUUUUGAGAGUUGGCAAACUAUAACAAAUGAAAAAUAAAACAUAUAAAACUGUUGGAGACGCUCUAAGUUAUGUUUCGUAAGAUAUUGUAUAUAAAAGUUACGUGCAUAACUUUGCAACUUCUUAAAAAAUAUUAUAAUAUUUUUUCAAAAAAAGGUUAAACAAAACAAUUAUUAGUAUAACUUUGUAACUUUUUAAAAAAUAAAUGUUGCGAAUUCAAAAAUAAAGUUAUUGCUAGGCUAGUGGGAUCGCUGAUUAGCUCAGUUGGAGAACCAAUGCGCGGUAGAGCGUGCAAAAAGAGAAUGAAUGGCGCGCGCGGCACUAUUCAAAUAGGGAAAGAAGUGAAUUUUAUUUUUUUUUAAAAAAAAGAAACUUGCGGUGUGUCGAAUAGAUCAGCUGGUAAAACCUGACCAGCCGAAUUUAAGUUCUCCAUUUGGUAUGGAUGUUUGUAUUUUUCUGGAUUUAUUCCACGAUUUCUCGUCGACGGCGAGGAGCCUACGGUGACUUCGUGAAUCUCGUAAUCUGUCGGUUCGGUCCUUCGAAGGUGCUUAUAGGUUAGAGUUUGUGUACGUGUGUUCAUAGGGGUAAGUGUAAGGUGUCUACGUUGUAUUGUGUAAUUCUAAAAAAAAUCAAAACCAUGUUAUUUUUAGCUUUUAUAUUGCCCUUUUUUUGUCAAAAUUUUAUACUGGCUUCUGCCCGCUUGGCAAGAGUGAUGUAUGGUAUUUUUCUCAGAAGACAAAGACGCAGGAAAGUAUUAUAUAUAAUUGUACGGUGCGGCCACUCUUAUCCAUAAAACAAAUCGUUUGAAUUAUUUUAUGGGUAGGGAGGAAGUAUUUCUAUGAUUUGUGAGGUGCCAGCACGGGGUCCACAGCCAGUCGGCCAACACUGCCCCACUUGUGCAUGCCGCUGUCCACCGGCUGGUAGUUUUAUUUAAUUAUUUUUUAUAUGCUGCUCCCGAGUCCCACCGCAACUUUCACGUGUUGUUCGUGCCGAGACUGCCGACCACCCACCACCGCGCCGCGCGGCUACAUAUCACACCCGUAGAGAUAUCGCCGACUAUUCCUCUCGCUCCCCGAUUCUGUAUCUAUAAAAUGGAGCUCCCAACCCAAAAGCCCAAGCCAAACCAAAAGAAUUCCUCCUCCUCACCAAACCGGGAGUCCCAACCCAAGGCAGCGGCAGCUCAUCACCGGCGCGCGAUGGCGGCAGCAGCUGUAACUCCAGGAGGCACGGGCGGCACCGCUGCGGCGACAAGCCGGUUCGCGGCGGCCUGCGGGGCUCUCAGCCACUACGUCAAGCAAGCGGCCGAAGCCGAGAGGAAGCACGCGAGGCCGGCAGCCGUGCCCGUGCGGCCUCUCCCGCUGAUGCCGGGCGCCGACGUCUCCGACUACUGCAGCCGCGACGGCGGCCUGGACCAUCUGGCUCAAGCGGCGCAGAUGAUGACCAUCGUGUACGGAGGGCGCGUGCUGGUGCUCGACGACGUCCCAGCGGACAAGGCGGCGGGCCUGCUUCGCCUCGCCGCCGCCGCCACCGGCGCAGCAGCAGCGCAAGAAGGUGCAGGUACAGAGGCGACGGGCGGUGCCAUGCGCGGCGGCGGGCAGGUCUCGGCCGCCGCCGACCUGCCAGUGGCGAGGAAGGCGUCGCUGCAGCGGUUCAUGGAGAAGCGCAAGGUCCGGGUCGCCGCCGCGCGCACGGAGCCGUACCGGCGGCCCGACGCCAGCGAUGCCUACUGCCCUGACCACCUCAAGCUCGCGCUCUGAUUCCAGUUAGUUCGGUGUUGUUGCUAUGCAGUUUCUAAUUAAUGUGUACUUAGGCGAGGAAUAGGAUUAGAGAUAUUAUUAUAGGAAGAGUCGAAGAGAGUACUUGGAUUAAUGGAUUGUACAGAGAAACUGGUAAACAUGUGGGGCGGCGUACUGAAUGAAAGCCAGAAUUGAACAAAGUUUGGAAACAGAUUCGCUGUGCUGUGCGUGCACAAUUCCUGAAUUGUACAAAUUAAGGCCUUGUUUAGAUCCGAAAAAAUUUUGGAUUUUGACAUUGUAGCAAUUUUGUUUUUAUUUAACAAAUAUUGUCUAAUCAUAGCGUAACUAAGACAAACUGUGUAAUUAGUUUUUAUUUUUAUCUAUAUUUAAUGCUUCAUGUAUAUGCCGUAAGAUUCGAUGUGACGGAAAAUCUUGAAAAGUUUUUGGUUUUUUGGUGAAGUAAACAAGGCCUAAGUUGCAGAUCCACGUCGCACAGAGUCAGUCCUUAGCAGAUUGUUCCCCGAGCUCCUGCCGACAUGCAUGCCAGUUUAAUUUCCCUAAUCACUCACUCAAUCGAGUCGCGAAUAGUAGUAACGAUAGUAGCGUACUAGCUAGCUCGAGCUGGAAUCAUCACACGCACACAACCAUCAGCGAACGAAACAAAUUGUUGUUUUGUAGAGUUGUGGAUUGAGUGGAUGAUGAAGGCGGUUUGUGGGGGCAGAGUUGCAGUAAAUCUGAAUCGUGAGCUAGGACAAUAUUUCAGGAGCUACAAGGGUCUCAGACAAGCUAGGCGAUCCAUUAUCCCCCUUGUUGUUCAUGUUGUAGAUGGUUUAUCAGCAAUCUUGGAUAAAGCUGUGGAAAGAGGUGUCCUAAGUGGCGUUACCCCUCAUUUAGUUCAUGAUGGGCUCACUCACUUACAAUAUGCUGAUGACACUAUACUUUUCAUUUAGAACACAUAUAGUAACAUUGCAAACUUAAAGUUUCUGUUGUUCUGCUUUGAGGAAGUCUCAGGUAUGAAAAUCAAUUACAGUAAGUCAGAGGUGUUCACAUUGGGGAUAGUGACGUGGAGACUGCAAGAAUUUCUUAUGCCUUUAAUUGUAAAGUUGGUAUGUUUUUAAUGAAAUAUCUUGGCUUACCUACCAGCUAUAAGAAAUUAUCCAACGAAGAGCUUAGGCCUUGUUUAGUUCGCAAAAUUUUUGUUUUUGGUUACUGUAGCAUUUCGUUUUUAUUUAACAAACAUUGUCCAAUCACGGAGUAACUAGGCUCAAAGAUUCAUCUCACAAAUUACAGGUAAACUGUGCAGUUAGUUUUUAUUUUCGUCUAUAUUUAAUGCUCCAUGCAUGCGACCAAAGAUUCGAUGUGACGGGAAAUCUUGAAAAUUUUUGCGAACUAAACAAGGCCUUAGUGAGUCUUCCGGAAAAGUUGAGAAAAGGUUAGAAACCUGGAAAUGUAAUCAGCUGUCCUAUGGUGGAAGAUCAAUACUUAUUAAUUCCAGCCCCACUGGUAUACCUAUGAACACUAUGAGUUUCUAUUGGCUGCAUGAAGGUACUCCAAAGAGGUUAGAUUCUGUAAGAGGUAGAUUUUUUUGGGAAGGGGUUCUUCCCUAGAUUUACCGGCAGCUUCUCGGCCAGAAACUUUGCCCACGUCACUCCGAAUUCUCCCGUCCAUCCGAUCUGCAGUUGAACGGUCUAGAUCUCUUCAAUUGGAUUUUACCGGAAGCGGCUCCUCCUGAUUCUCUUUAGCUUCCUUGACUUCUCUCGAUUUCUCUCUAGCUUCUCAACUUCCGCUCCAAAUCUGAUCGACCAAAUAUAACAGCCAGCUUCUCCUUCUCCUUCUCGACUCUUCUCCUGCUCGACUCUUCUCAUCCGUCCGCUCUCAGACUCUCUCUUUCUCUCUCUCUCUGGCUCUCCCAAGGUGGCAUUGCAGCCCAUCGCCGACGAAGGCCCUAGGCGCAGUGGCACGGGCCCAAUUUUUUAUAAUUUGGUCCUUUUUUUGAAAAAAAUUCACAAUUGGACCCCUGGAAAACUUAAAUGCAGAAAUGGACCCAGGGGGUCGGCGCCAUGCAUCAUGGCGCCGAGGUUUCACGUCUCGGCGCCAUGGAUCACGGCGCCGAGGUCCUGGCACUGCCUUCUCACGUGGAUCUGACGUGGCAGGGAGCUCGGCGCCAUAGAUCACGACGCCGAGCUCCCUGCUACAAAUCGGCCGACGCCCUUCGCUACCCUUGGACACAGUUCAUAUUUUCAUCUCCCCUCUCGGCUCUUUCUCUCCAAAAACCGAGCACGAAUUUGGAUUCAAUAUUUGGACCAUCAAAAGUUUGAUUUGUUCCAUAGAUCUUGAAGAGCCAGGUAUACUCUUUGACAUAUUAGUUUUUGACUCAUUGAUUUGACCUAUAUUACACGUAUGUUGUAGACUUAGAUAAACCAUUUAUAGUUUUUUGAAUGGAUGAUUAAUAUUUUUCUUAUGCAAUCGUAGAAUGCCACGUCGUGGAAAAAGUAGCAAACCAAGGUAACCUUUCGACAUGUUUCGAUAAAUUUAAUUCCUUAUUAUUUAUCAUUUGGUAAAUUGUAGUUUUCGGUUCAAUCGUUAUUUGCUAUGACUUCUUAGAAUUGAAUUAUUUGAACUGUAGCUAUGGCCGGACGACCGGUAGUCCGUACAUCCACAAGCCGCUUCCUAGCGGUGUUCCAGUACCUAUGUGCUUUUGUGGUGAUCCUUGCAAGGUAGAAAUUUCGGAAGACGAGGAAACCUAUCGGCAGAGGUAUUGGAUGUGUUCGAAUUUUGCCUGGGAGCCUACGCCAAAACAACGCCGCAGUAACUUUAUUGUAAGUUAUUUUUUCUAUUGUGCACUUAUUAAUUUGUGUCCUACGAAGCAUGAUUUUAAUUUUUGAACAAAUAUAUUUGUUGCAGACCCCUCCACCAUUGUGUGAUUUUGAGCAGUGGAUCGACACUGAGGUUAAGGAGUCCGACAAGCGGCUUCUACAAGGCCUAAAGGAGUGGGAUGCAGAGCGUGCAGAGAUAUUAGAGAAGAGACGUAGAGAGGAGGCUCAAAAGAGGGAGCACAAGGAAGAGGAGGAAAGAAGACGUGUUGCUGCGGCUCGGGAUUAGAGGGAAAAGAAGCUUGAGCGUGUGCGCCGAGCGAAGGCAGCGAUUGAUGAGAAUCCAGAUGCCCAGAGGAAGGGAAAGUGGCCUCGUUGCACUCAGUAGUUACAUUACCUUCUUGUUCUUUGUUUGGUUCAUGGACAAUAUUGUUUUGUGUUGGACUUUUCAAUUUGUUGUUAUGUAAUGCACUUUAGCACUUUUAAUUUGGUUUCAUUAUUAGUAGACAAUAUUUUUAUUUGAGUAUUGCAUAGGCAAUGAAAUGAGGAUAAUUAGUUGAAAUAGAAGUUAACGAACUAGUAUAUUGCAUAACUAGUAGCACACAUCACAUUGAAUGGCAUGUCAAAACAUGCACCAAACCAGGGUGCAGAGGUCCGAGACUAAACCUAACAUGCCUUAGGUAAUUCAAGCUAUUAACAAGCACAGGGAAUGGCAUGUGAGAACAUAUACCACACAAAGGUACAUAGUUCUUUCGACUAACCCUAACAUGCCUUAGGUGAUUAAACCAAACAACAAACAUAUGGAUGUGGCCUGUGAAUUAGUUCAGUUCUACCUAGUAGUGUGGCCACAUAGCAAACUGUGUUGCCCCUUCUCCAUAGUAUCCUCCCGUUGUUGGUGGUGGUGGUGGGGGUGGUGGUGAAGGAGGGCCCUUGUUCUUGUGAUUAGGGCAUGUGCAGUAUGGAUCAUUGCAUAUUGUGUUUUGGGAGCCAGUAGCAUUGCUGUUGUCGUCCUCUUCGUCGUCCUUGUAACCACAGCUAACUUCCGUUUCUAAAUCAAAGAUACGGUCCUGCAGGUAGUAGAUGUACUCUGCAUGGGGAUGAAUAGGUCUAGGAUCGAUCCAUCUGGUGAAGCCACAGUUCUCUUUUGACAAGAAUGACUGCAAUAAGUAUUUAGCUUUAGCACAAGAGAGUAUCUUAUUGAAGGUUGAAUUAGUAAUAUGACUUACCCAUGCUCGUGGACAUUUGAAGAAACGACGCCCUCCAUCUAUCCCCUCUGUGUACAUCUGCACCAAACAAUCCUCACCAUGCAUACAUUUUGGCCACUCUUCUUUUCGGUCAUCAUAUGCCCUCAGUGGUGCCUCUUUAGUAAAAUCAUGUUUGCUCUCAAGGGGGAACCUAUCAUAAAUUGCUUCCUCAAAGUCUUUAGGACCAAGAGGACCCUCCCAAAGAAAGGGAUUACCCUUCAUCGCCGCCUUUCCCUUUCCCUUCCCUCUAGACGACCCUCCAGACAUUUUUACUUGAACUGAACAAUCUCAAGUGAGUAGCAACGCUCUCACCACUGCGUAUAUAUAUAGGAACCCAAUAGUUGGUAGCCGUUGUAGUAUAUAAUAAAUGCACCUGAAAAGCCUAGAUUCUAUUACUGAAAAGCCUAGUUGAAAACUGAAAAGUCUAUUUGGAUUGUCAUCUGAAAAGGCUAGAUUCGUUCACUGUUUCGGAUGUGAUGAUUCAAUGAAAAGCCAUAUUGGUUCACUGUUUCUGAAAAGCCUACACUGCGAAAACCAAUAGGAAUGGACCACAGAAUAUGUGCACUACAUUGAAUAAUUCAUGGAAAAAAUUUGCAAGAGUUUCCCCUAUUUUUGGUACAUCCACAGUUAUAAAUAGACAUCACAGUACAAUACAAACAUUGAUUCAUCCUAAUAUCACAACACAAGCACAUACGCCAUCAGGAAUGAUAGUUCAGAUAGUCCACAGAGACCAUACAGUCCCAUAUAGUACAAAUAGUCCACAAAGUUCACAGUGUCGAUACAUGCAAAAUAACAGAAGUUAUGCCAUCAAUUCUAAGCUGCAAUAUAGUGAGAACAAGGAGAGUGGUACUGUCUUGGUCUCCCACAUCCACAUGAAAAAUAAGUCAGGACAACAAUAUAACUCCUUGAUGGUCGGAUCUCACCAUCUGACGUUGUACCACCCCUUUCAGUGACCUGGUACUUGCCAGUGGCAUGGUCAAAACACUCUAUGUCAUGUGUUCUAGCCCUUUCCUUUGCCUUGUCAAGGUGCUUCUUAGCUCUAGGUGCCCAUUUCAUAUUAUUACUCUGUAAUUGCAAUGCUUGAGCAUGUCUAUCGUUGAACCAGGCCACUAGUCUAUAAAAGGUAAAAGAUACAAUGGCAUUGACUGGCAUGGCACGUAUACCCUUGAGCACACUAUUAAAUGACUCUGCCAUGUUGCUAGUCUGAAACUCGUACCUCCAUCCACCAUUAUCAUGGGCUCUUGUCCAUUUAUCAGGUUCCCUCAUCAAACCUAGCAGCCACUGCCUACCUUCUGCAUUUGUUGCGGUUUUUAACUGCUCCAACUUCUCCUCAAAAAACGGCACCUCAAGCAUUCGAGCAACCUCCUCGAAUAGAGGAAAGUUGUCCUUCGUACCAUCUUUCCGAAGUAAAUUCUCUGCAAGGUGUCUAGUACACCAACGAUGGUGCAAAGGUGCAUAACCAGGAAUCUGCUCCUGUACGGCACUGAGUAUGCCCUGGUGCCUAUCAGAUAUGACACCAACCUCCCUAUGUGGGCCAAUGACAUGUAUCCGAACAAGGCGCAUGAACCAACCCCAGCUGUCUUUGUUCUCUCUCUCCACCAAAGCAAAAGCCAAAGGAACCAAUGCGUUGUCAGCGUCACAGGAAAUGGCUACCAAAAGAGUGCCCAUGUACUUGCCAAGCAGAAAAGUACCAUCAAUUGAUAACACUGGACGGCAGUGCCUAAAGGCCUGGACACACUGUGGAAAACACCAGAAUGCACGAAAGAAUAUCUGCCUCCCAUUCCUCCAUUCAUUAGGCUUCGGAAUGUACUCGUAAUGCAUGCCUGGAUUAGCUGCUUUCAUUGCAUUGAACAUUGCUGGCAGCUGCUCGUACCCCUCCUCCCAGUCCCCAUAUAUCAUCUUCCAGGCCCUUUGCUUUGCCCUCCAUGCUUUGCCAUACUUUAUGUCAUAUUUAAAUAUCUUCUGAGCCAUGUCCAUAAUUGUUCUGACCUUCAAGUUGGGCUGACCCUUUAAAGUUGUGCAUAACGUACUAGCAAUAAGUGUAGAGGUCAACUGUCGAUGCUUCUGUUGAAGGUCAGUCUGGGCACAAGUGUGUGGACCUACAAUUUUUGUGAUCUUAAACUUCCCGGUGGCCUUCUGUUUACGAGCACAGACCCUCCAGUUGCAAUCUGACAUCUCACACACAACCGUGUAGCGGCGCUCAACAUGGGAGUGCAUCACCUUGAAGGGUCUUUUACGUAUUACAGAAUAUUGUUGUAACCACCUUCUUAAGCUGGGCAAGUCAUUAAAGAUCAUGCCCUUCUGUAUUUGCACACUGUCACUAGGCUCAGGAGCCUCCAGCAGCUCAUCAUCUCUUCCCUCUGCAUAAGCAUUUUGAGAAUGACUGAGGUCACUAAACUCGUGAACUAGUGGAUCACGAUCAGGAUAAAAACGUCUGAUAAGCUCCAUUUCUUGUUCACUUAAAGGUGCAACUGGGCGGUCAUCAUCAGAAUCAACAGCUCUAGCUGUGCCAUAGGGCUCCUCAUCAUCCUCAAUAUUAACAUCCAAACUAUUAGAUGCUAUAAAAACUGCGUCAACAUUCAAUGUUGGAGGCACAGGAUGACAACAAUCAUUACUUGGAUUGUCACCUACAACAAAACCACAAAUAUGGAUACAAUUGAGACAAAUAAAUCGAACGAAGGAGGGCUAACAAAAUGAAUAAUGCAACUACGCCACUUACAUGGAAUUGUCUGGGUCAUAGGGGUCUGUAGGCAGCCAACCUCAUUGGGACCGGAUUGAGCAUCAAGAACGACAACCACAUCUUCCACACCCACAUCCUGAAUGGGUAUCACAGAAGCUGAGGGUGCCGGAUUGUUCACUAGAGGGCCAAUGGGUGGUUGCCAAUUAAGAGGAGAAUCCACUAGAGGACCUGGCUCCUUGGACAAGUUGCGCACAACCAAAUCCAAACAUUUAAACUCACUCUUCAUGACAGUUUUGACAUAUUUGUCCCAUUGAACCUCGGAUACAAUUGGAACCAACCGCCUAAAAAUUGUCCCUGACCCGCCAUGGUGAAUGACCCCCUCAACUAAGAUUUCUUCUUCAUUCGAAUUACAUUUAAGCUGAUCACGAGCACUACCCAUCAAUUCAGAAAACAAGGGCCGCUCAUCGAACAUCAAAGGGACCGUUUCCAUUCCAACAAAAUCAACAUUGCCAAACUGAUCUUUCUCCACACUUCCUCCAUGAUAUAAGGUUACUAAAUUGUCCAUCUAAUUGAUAUACAAAACAACCAUAUUACUAGGCAUAUAACUAAUACAACUACAACUAUAGUACACAUACGAAUUAUUAUGUAUAUGUAUAUCUAUUUUAAUAAUAAUCUACCUACCCAACUAUAUAACUAUAUUAUCUAAUUUAAUAAUAACUACCUACCCAACUAUAUAACUAUAUUACCGAACUACAUUUAUUACAUAUAGUACCUAGCUAAAUUAACUAAAUUAACACCAAAACUAUAAUUAAGUACAAAAAUGCUAGAUGAAUCACCAAACUAAACUUGUUCCCGGAUAAAACUAAUAACUAACUAAAUUAGAAUUUAAUAAUACCUAACUAAAAUUAAAUUCACAAACAACCUAAAUUACAAAACGAAUAACAACUACAAACUACAAAUUUAAAAAUUACCUAGCAGCAAAUGUCCCAGGGAGGCAACGCUGCCUGCCCACCCCCGCGGCAGGGGAACCGCGCCGCCCCGACCCACCACCCAGGCCCAGGCCGGCCACGGGCCACCACACCGGGAAGGGUGCCCGGCCGGCGGCGCGCCCUGAGGCGCGGACAGCGCGUGGGCCCGGGACGAGAGCGCGGACAGCAGCGCGUCGGGCGCGGGCAGCGCGUGGGCGCGGACAGCAGCGCGUCGGGGGAGCAGCGCGUCGGAGCCGAGGGAGCAGCGGAGCAGCGCGUGGGCCCGGCCGGGAAUCGCGCGGCGCGACGGGAAGCAGGGGAAGGAGAGGCACGGGCGGCGCGACGGCGAGCAGGGCGAGGCAGCGUCGGGGAGCAGGGAGGAAGAAGGGAAAGGAGGAAGAGAGAAAGGAAAUCGCGAGCCACGGCUGGUUUUGGAUUCAAAAGGUCGGCGCCGUGAUCUGUGGCGCCGAGCUCGGCGCCGAGAUCUGCGGCGCCGAGGUAUUUUUUUUUUUGCCACGUUUUGCCACGCGAGCGGCCACGCAGACGCUACGCUGGGCACGGCCAGGGACCUCGGCGCCGUGAUCCAUGGCGCCGAGACGUGAAACCUCGGCGCCAUGAUGCAUGGCGCCGACUCCUGGGUCCAUUUCUGCAUUUAAGUUUUCCAGGGGUCUAAUUGUGAAUUUUUUUUAAAAAAAGGACCAAAUUGUAAAAAAUUGGGUGGCACGGGAUGGGCCGACGAAGGCCCUAGGCGCAGUGCCACGGGAUGGGCGCCCUCCCCUCGACGCGGUGGUGCAGCGCCGGCACGCCGGGGUUGCGGCGAUCGUGCCCCCUGGCGGCGGCGCGGGGCGAGCGCCAUCCCCCGCGACGGGAACACCGCCGUCGCUCCUCCGUGAGGUCGCCGCCUCCAGGUUGCACGACCUCCUCUCCAUGACGCAAGCUGCCAUGUCGUCCUAGGCAGACGGACCCCUGCGUGACGACGACGACGACCUAGGGUUUCGGCCAUUCUUCGCCGGCGGCCGCGGCUCCGGUGAACUGCUGGUACCUCGCCCCCUCCUACUCCUUUCGAUCUCUAUCCCCAUGUCUCCAUCCAUUCGUUUUGUUACAGCAGGAACACAUAUAUGUAUGUUUCAUUUGCAAAAGCUGCAAUUUUUUUUCUCCAAAUCUGCGUUUCGGUUAUGAUUAGCAUAGCUUAAAUCUUUACAGAAUGGCGUGCUGCGGCUUCAGCUUCCCCGGCCACGGUAGGGGUUUUACCGGUGGCUACACGGCCUCUGGGACAUCGACAACAUGAUAGGCCAGGAGGUUCUUGGAGUUUGACUCAGGUAGAUAUGCCUCCAUUUGUUUUACAAUGAAUUGAUGAAUGAUUUAUGAUAGGCCAGGGGGUUCUAGGAGUUUGGCUCAGGCAGAUAUGCCUCCAUUUGUUUUACAAUGAGUUGAUGAAUGAUUUAUGUGACUUCUUUUAUAUGUUCUGCUUAAUUUAUAUGACUAUGUAUCAUGUGUGCACAGGUAUAUAGUGCUUUUUGCCUGCAACAGAAAGUUAUGUAUGCUGUUUUUUGAGAGCCAUGAAUUUUUAAGAGCUAAUCUUGCCUGCAAUGGAAAACUAUGUAUACUAUAGUUAAUACUUCAUGAUGCCUGGUCAUAUUAAAUAGAAUAUAAACCUUCUCUUCUUUCAAGUUGAUUUUUCUACCUAUACCUCUUAUUGGACUUUACAUGUUUUCUUUAUGAAUAGGCAAGCGCUUUUGGUACAUAUAACAAUGAUGAUUCUACUCUUUAAGGUCAGCUUUAUCCCUAACCCUUCUCCCCUUUGAAUUAUGUUCAAUAGCAAUGCUACUUUUCUUUACCUCAUGCUUAUUACGUUACAUUGCUAGCCUUUUUAGAACAUAAAAUGGAGAUCACAAUGAGGUCAUUGCAACCUGCCUACUGUUGUCUACCAAUGUAAAAAAAGACCUACAAGAGGUAAUAGUUCUCGUAGUGUAUUCCCUCUAUAUCUCCGUGCUUCUUUAUUUUUUGACGCCAUUAGUACGCUAUAGUUUUGUCCAUGAUUUCAAAUUAUCAUGUUUGGCCUUACUUGAUACCUUAUGCUCCGUUGUUGAAUCUAUGUUGACCUAUGCUCAAGUUGCCUGUGCUUGCCGCCUCACUACACCAAGAAAUAUGCUAAGUUCUAGGUUCACACUAAGGAAAAAAUCCAUUAUAUAUAACAUCGUUGUCAAUUAUUUUUAUUACAGGUAAAUAGGUUCAUUCGUAAUCCUGCAACUGCAGCUAGGCAUGUAUUCCGUGAGAAGCAGGGAAAGAUCAAUGAAUCUUAUAAGAAGCUGCAGAAUGGAUGGCUGAACAGUGGGGACAAAAGACCCUUCUGUUAAGUUUGCUAAGGUAAGGGGUAAGAUUAGUUGGUUCGAUCUUUUAAAACCAAUUUUUCUGAUAGCCUACUACUUUUCCUUUUUUUAUAUCAUUUUACCCUCGUCCCAUUGAAAUAUAAUGUUCUCGGCCAGAAACUUUGCCCACGUCAAGCACAAGGUGAUUAAUUUAUAUGUUGGAAACUUGCCUUAUGCCCCAUUUGUAGCAACGAAUGUUCCUUUCCAGUGCGUAAUCUACAUACUAGGUUCAGAAAAUUCAGUCUCAUGUGACCUAGCAGUGGGACUUUCCCUACUGUUUUCUUGGUUCACUGAAAGGUGUGUAUGGAGAAAACUGUGUGAGGAACAUCAAGCACAAGACGAUUAAUUUAUAUGUUGGAAACUUGCCUUAUGCCCCAUUGUAGCAAGGAAUGUUCCUUUCCAGUGGGACUUCCCCUACUGUUUUCCUGGUUCAACAAAAAAAACUUUCAAUUCCAUAUAUUGAUGUGUGUUACUUUAUGUUACUAGAAUAAAAUAUUGGUCUGCUUUGUGAGAUUUUAAAAAAUAAUGUUGUAAAUUUGCAAUAGUCCGCCCAUUAGCUAUGCCUAUGUAUAAGCCACAGUGCUUCAAAUGGAAUUAGGUUGGUCAUUUGAUCAUUUUUGUUAACCACAAAUAGAAGUACGACUACUAGGCUAAAAAAUUGAUACAGUUUGCUGAAGAUAUCUCAGAGUGUAACUACUUCCGUUUACUCACCCAACUGUUACCUAUCUUAUAGUUUGGUCUACAAAAUUUGCGAUCGUAGAUAUAAGUUGGUUGUUCAUUUACCAUCUUGUUCCUUUGCCUCAAGGCCAGCUACUCUGUAUAUGCCAGGUAUCCCAUUAUUCUGUGUUUUUUAUCUCCAUGCUCCUUUGUUAUUAUUGUCAUGUGCACAGCUCCUAAACCCUAUCAAUUUCCCUUCUAUUAUUGUGUUUAGGUGCAUUCAAUCAGAUAGCAAGCAAAAGGUGAAAAAGACUGGACAGGUGAACAACUUUCCUUUGAAAUGCUUUAUUCUUAGUUCAUAUCCAGUUUGGUUUACCUAUACGUCACACAUGAAUUCUUGUAAAUUUUAUAUAUUUCUUGCAUAUAGGAUUAGUUCUAUUAACUGAACUAUUUCUCCAUUAGAUAGAACCCCCUCCUAAUUAGAUGGUUUCAAACUAAAACAUUAUUUGGACAGUAUACAAUACUAAUACUUUUGUAUGCAGAUUCUUCUUUUUUUAUCUCCAUGUCAAGAGUACGUUGCCAAAUCAGGCUGCAUUCCUUUGGUACACUUUCUCUCUAUUUGUAAUGUUAGUCAUGGCAAUAUGUGUGUGCAGUACUUUCAGACACUGACAAUGUUAGUUGCCAUUGUUAGAACUACUUUUCAUUUAGAGUUACUUACUCCCUUCAUCCUGUCCUGCUUACAUCUUUUUUAAAAACUAUUGAUUUAUCCUCUACAUCUUGAAAAUACAUGGCAUGUGUUAACCUCUACACUUCAGCUGGACAUCACUGUCACUCCAUGUCCCUCUUCUUCGAACCUCCUAGGCUCACCUUAGUUUGGCCAUGUGCUUCUCUUUUUCAAAUGAUUUUCCUGAUUCGUCUUCUCAGUUAAGAUGCCACGGGUUUCCUAAAUUGUUUCCCCUUUUGUACGUACUCACUUUCACAGGACCUACGCAUGCUAAUAUGGUAUGGGUCACACUUGCGUACUACUAUGUGAUAAACUCCCUUCUUUUUCACUCAUCUCAAGUUGCCAACUCCCAUCAAUUUUGGCAGAAAAAAAUGACAUGUGUACUUCUUAUUUUGAUUUCUUCUCCAGAAUCUUACCCAUAUAGCUCUUUUUGUCUUAUCUUUAUUGAUGAAUAGUGGUGGCACCGUAACAAAAAUAUUGUAUUCGAGGAUCUUAUUGAUCGAUGCCUUAGCCACAAGAUUUACUUAGUUCUUUCGCCAAAAUAUUCUUUGCUUGGAUGAUUGGCAAGGCGUUGAUGCUCGACGAAAUCAUAAAGCUAGGUGCAAUUGCUGCAAUGAUAGGUCGAGGUAAGCAGCACAUCCCAGUUCAAACUAUCCGAUGCACCUAACUAAAAUUCGAUUUUUCCAAAUUCUUAUUGAUUUCACUGCUUUCUGGUCCAGUUUCUCUUCAUGAAGCUUGCAAGACCCCACUUGGCUUCAGCAACCUGCGUACCCUCCUAUAAAAAGAUGGAAGUUUAAACUUUCCCUGUGUUUUGCCCUGUGAUGGACAAGUUGACCAAAUUAGUAGAUUACUCAGAUGUUCCAAACCUGUGGCCCUUCGACAAGCUUAGUCCAGUCGUUCGUUCCAAACGUCUUCGACAACCAACCUACCAAUGCCCAGUAUGCUUUUCAGAACUUGAAGGUAAACCAACUAAUGCUUGAGCAGCUCAUUUUGGUUAUCCAUUUAGUUAGCUUACUAAAUAAUCAAAUCAUUGGGAAUCUUAACAUAGCUUUGGUUUAUAUUUUUUUUUUAUUUUUCAGCAAAGAAGCUACUACAAGAAGAAUCUCCAGAGCAUUAAUAGCUUCCUGAGCAGAAGCGAUGUCCACGUCGCCUAAAAUAUUCUUGUCCGUUCGAUCUCACCAUCCAACGCCCUAGAUUGAUCCGAGCGGCUUCUACCCGGAGCGGCUUCUCUUGCUUCUCGUGCGCUUCUUCGGCUGUUCUGGCUUCACAUCAGAAUCCAGACUACCAAAUAUAUAUCUCAGCUUCUGCUUCUCCUUACUAAAAAAACACAGCUCUCCCAUCCUGUCCUCUCCCUCCGCUUCCUCCCUCAUCCUUCCGACGUGAUGGACGCCGACGACGGCGAGCGGCGCGCCGCGGCCGCCCUCCUCCUCCUCCUCCAUCUCCUCCUCAUCCUCCUCCUCCUCCUCCUCCUCCUCCUGCGCCUCCUCUCUCCCCUUCCCUUCCAUGCCGGCGGCGGGCGCCACGCAGCGGCGCAGCCUGCAGGCAGCGCGAUGGCGCCAGUGGUGCCCGCUGGCUCCUUCCCUCUCCUCCAUCCUACUUGCGGUCUCCUCGAUGCCUCCUCACCCCAGGGCGCCUGCGCUCCUCCCGUUAGCGAAACCCCAGGUAACCUUCCCUGUACAUUGAUGAUUAGUUGUUUCGUUCAUGUUAUCCACUGAGGCUUGGACCUUGUGCAAUGAUGAUCCUUUUAAGAUUGAGUCAAUAGAAUGAUUUAUUGGAUGUUGUAUUAGUGACCAGACGCAACAUCAGAGUUAUUUUUUACUUUCAAUUACUAGGCUACACCUAUACAUCGGCUUGUUAUGUACAUAAUCUUGUUUAAUUUAAUACAGUAUUGUUUUUCAUCCAGCUGUUUAUUCUUUCGUAUUGUGGGAUCAUGACAGCUCUAAAUUUUCUGCCUCAGAUUUUAGGUGAAUGAGUUAGUUUUGGAAAAUUUGUUCCGAAUUGUAAAAACAUUAAGAUGUACUUUUUAGGGGUAAAAUUUUGGACCUUGUACUAUUCUAUUACGAUAGGCUUGCCUAUGCCCCUAGAGGUCUAAUUAACUUUUAUUGGACUUGGUUCUAGCUGCUUGCUUAGUCUACAGAACUUCGGCUCCUAUAAUAUUUAACGCACAUAGGAAGCCCCCCUGCAGGUCUAAUUAUCUUCUAUUGGACUCAGUUCUACCUGCUUGGUCAGUUUGGAGAACUUAGGCUCCUAAUAUUUAACACACAUAGGAACUCCAGUGAUGCACCAAAAUUCAGCUUUAAAGGCUCCUAUAAUAUUUAACACACAUAGGAACUCCAGUGAUGCACCAAAAUUCAGCUUUAGAGGCUCCUAUAAUAAUUAACACACAUAGGAACUCCAGUGAUGCACCAAAAUUCAGUUUUAAACUUUGGUAUAUUUUAAAUCAUCGUGUAUAAGCUGAAAUUCAAAUGUUCUUAGAAAAUGGCAUAGCAUUAUUUGAAAAGAGAAACAAGGGCAGUUCUUUUCUGUUAUGAACGAGGUGGAUAUUUGGGAGAUAACUAGGCCUUAUGCUUUGCCAAGAGCUUUGGGAUAACUGGGCCUUAUGCUUUGCCAAGAGCUUGAGAGAUUGAGGGAGACUAGAAUUGUUUCUUAAUAAUUCAUUGCUUGCUUUCCAUUGUGCCCCAUGGGCUGAAUAUAAAAAGGUACAUAGGACUAACACCUCUUGUGCCUAGACAAUAUGGUACUAUUCCUAUAGACAAAUAACUAAGAGAGACACUAAUUAACACUAAUGGGCUUAAGGACCAACUAGGACACUUGCGCCCUACGACGCCCCUCUUUAUGCCCAUGACAUCUCCCCCGCCCUUGGAGACCCAGCUCGUCCUCGAGCUGGAGAGCUGAAGCGAAAUAGGGUUAAGCCUUUACAUCUCGGCUUCCCCUUUUUAUUGAAGACUAAAAUACAAGGAUAUCCACCUGGAUCCCAUGGAAAGAGCGCCUCUGCUGGCUUCAUGUAGGCUGAAGGGUGGAGUGUGAAGCAGCUGGCUCUUAUGCUGAAAGUGUCUAGCACCACGGCAGGCACAAGGAUGAAUGAGAUAGCCUUUGAUGCCUGAUGCUGGAUGCCUGAUGCGAGGUCGCUGCACUGGAAACGCCCAUACUUGGACCCCCACUGCAAUUGGAGCCGCAGGCCGUAUCGGCGAGUCCGAGUGGAUGAACACGUACGACAACGUCGAGCUGAGGAGCAUGUGUAUCUGCCGCACCAUGCGACGGACAAGCAUUGCGCGCACUGCUGCCUGGAGGCGCACUGUUGCUUGCUCCUUCGAUGCUUUUGUGGCACGAAGAGCCUGCGCUCGGCGAUGUGCCAGGAGUCCCCGUGCUGCUGCCUGGAGGCGUACAACCGCCCGGCGUUCACGGUCCUUCUUCGCGUUGAUCAACUCCUUGAUGCGAUCCAGCUGCGUGAAUAUAUCAGCAAAGAUGCGGGAAGUGUCGUUGGCAGUAGGGGACACAUGGUGGAGCAGGUCGGGGCACGGGGGCGAUGUGAAGCGCAGGUGCAGGAGCUCGGUGAAGCGAUGCCACGCCGGGGUGCCUUCAGCGUGCUGGACUUGUAGGAACCAAACCCGGGCGUCAUCUUCCAAAUUACGGGAAACCAGCCAUACCUUUUCUUCCUCCAUGAUGCGCUCUCGGUGGAAGUAGGAGUCGCACUGGUUGACGAAGGCCACAGGAUCAGAUUUCCCCGCAAAUUUAGGGAAAUCCAUCGAGGCAAAGCGUGGCAGCGGCGGUGUGUUGUGGCGGAUCUAGAUCGAUGAUUGCGGCGGCGGCGGAUGGUGGUGAUAGGGCUGCGGCGCGGUGGCUGUGGUGAUGGGGGUGCGGCGGCGGCUGGUGGCGUUGCUGUGGCGGCGCGGCACGAUGGAUGAGGUAGGCGACACGACGAUCUGGAUCGGUAUCUUUUUUUUUUGGAAACGGCCGAUGGAGGAUCGGAACUGCUGGAGGAUUCGCCUGAUGGAGGAUCGGAGGUGCUGGAGGAUCCGGCUAAUGGAGGAGGAUCGCUGGAUUCUCUCUGAUACCAGAUGUUAUGAACGAGGUGGAUAUUUGGGAGAUAACUAGGCCUUAUGCUUUGCCAAGAGCUUGAGAGAUUGAGGGAGACUAGAAUUGUUUCUUAAUAAUUCAUUGCUUGCUUUCCAUUGUGCCCCAUGGGCUGAAUAUAAAAAGGUACAUAGGACUAACACCUCUUGUGCCUAGACAAUAUGGUACUAUUCCUAUAGACAAAUAACUAAGAGAGACACUAAUUAACACUAAUGGGCUUAAGGCCCAACUAGGACACUUGCGCCCUACGCCGCCCCUCUUAUGCCCAUGACAUUUUCGGUGUUAUUUUUUUUGAAAGGACACGACUUUCACCCUUUUCAGAGAUCUUUCUUAUGCCUUCGUUCUCAACUUUGUUCAAUCACCUAGAUAAUGGAAAAGGUUACCUCUGCAUAGAAAGAGAGGAGUGUGGGUCAAGGAAUAGUGGUUGCUUGUUGUUUUGAUGCUGCUCUGCUCUUUUGAUUGUUUCAGGAAAGAAAUCAAGAUAUUGCCUAGCUGUUAUUAGACCGUGGACAUACAGGUGUCAUUAGUUUUCGUUUAGAUUCUACUCUGCUCAUUGGAUCUUUUGUUGGUAUCCAGUUCAAAUCAACCGAAAAAGGAUGCGACAGAGUACCAGCCUGGAAUAGAUUUCAAACUGCUGAUUUUUACCACCUUUAUUCCUCCUGUUUACUCUUUUCAUUGCCUGUCACUAUAUUGAAAACUGAGAGGCCUAAAUGCAAUGUCAAUCCAUAGUUUCUUAACUAUGCUAAUACAAUCAUUCUGCUUAAUGGUUUCUUACAUGCAUCAAACAAGAAAAAUGCAGCCACUAGGUUCAGAACUCUUUUUUUGAUACUUGCUAUAUGUGCUUACAUGAUAUAUCUAUUACAAGACUUGCGCCAAAAAAAGACUUAUCACAGGCAAUUGAGAUUCAUUUAUGUAAAUAUAGAAGUCUUGGAGAAUAGUACAAAAACAGAUGGCCUUGGUAAAUGAUCGAAGGCAAGGAAAUAAUCUUGCAUUUUCUUGUGGUAAAUCACAAUACUCACUGCUUGCCAAGCAAAGAACAGGCACUGCCUUUUGGUUUACCUUGCUCCACUGCAAUAAAACAUUUAUCUAUGACAUUUAUUGGUUAUUGGCGUUAUUUUUGCAGGAAAGAAGGUAUUUUUGAUAAAGACCAUUUGUUGGCCUGCUGCCUUUCAGAUCCAUGUAUAGCUCUCCAAAGGUGGCUGAUGUGAGUAUCUAUCUAGCAUAGGUACAUACAUACAAUUUUCAGCAUUAUUCUUACUGCUAUUUCUGUUGUAUAUAGACUGCUACAGCUCCAAAUAUUUGCCACCAUAUUUUCUAGAGUACAUAAGACUGUCUUUGAUUUGUUCACUAUAAACUGAAAUGUGGCGAAAAAAUCAGCCCUGACAUUUUAUAGUUCACAGUUUCACACCGAUUUGAUUCUUGCCUUCUUCCAUUUAUGAUUCAACUUUCCUCAGCCCACAUGGUGCAGUAAACAAGGAAAAAAAUAACACAUACCUAAUCAUGUUUUCAAUACUAGGGUCCACCCAUUUUUUUACAAUAUCCACUAUGUAGGGUUGACAAGAACCCUGCUCAGGUAAAACAAUUCAUCCGGUGCCCUGGCCUACACCUUCGCCCUUUUGUCUUGUUGCCUACACAUUCUACAGUGCAAAGCUUAAAUCUUAGUAAGGUCAUGGAUUUUCAUAUGGCUACUUUUUCCCCAGUAGAGAAUAAACGCCAACGAGUUUACAUGCCACCUUAUAUUGAUGAUGGUGCUACAUAAGAUUGGCUAGAUUGAAACAAGUUGUCCUCAUCGGUCAAUCUAGCCCCUUUUAUCUAUACAUUGACCAUUCAGAUUACAAAUUUGGUGAAAGAAAAAUGCUUAAUCAUUCGUUAACUACGUCUCUUCAAUUUCAGGCUCCGGAAUCGCUUAUUCACUAGGCAGGCGCAGAACAAUCUUUGCAGAUACAACUGAGUCAUAAUCCUUUGAUGGCAGUACAACACUGCUUUUAAAAGAGUGUUUAUGCAGUUUAUCCCUAAAUUGGUUUUCAAAUGAGUAAGAAAACUAUUUUGUUCAUAUAUUUUCUUGUGUGCCUAUUAACUCAGCUUUUUUGUCGUUACUUACAGCCCCUAACUUAAUUGAGCUAUUGGCAUUACCAAAAAUUGGGAAGGUCAAAUGCUAAUGUCCUUGAGUUUGGCACCAUAGCGCUUUCGGAAAUUCUGAGAAACAGAGGUAAGUUUUAAAAAUAUUCGAUUGGGAAUAUCUACUGUCUUGGUUCUAUUAAUGUUGCUAUUAUCUACAAUAUAUGGUCUGAAUAUUCACCAACAAACUAAAAUUCUUUUUGUGAGAUCUAUAGAAUAGAAUGAAAGCAAAUUUGGUUAAAAAGGCUGUUUUUGUUAUAACGCUCCUAUGAGUUAUGCCCAUAUCUUGAUGCACACUGAAGGCAAAGAGAUAGAGAAUAAUGGUGAUAUUUGUAGUUAGUAACAGAACUCCACUCAUGAGACUAUGAAUCUAAAACUAGAGUAUCCUAAAUGCUACAAUGCCAUGCUGCAUAAAUCGAACAGCUUUUGCUACAAGCUUUUAACGUCAAAUUGUUGGAUUACUUAGGUAUAAAAAUGAUAUCAGUGGUAUCUCAAAACCUUAUUUAUGAAAUUAUCUUCUUCUUUCUCAUGUUCUUCAGGCAUGGGAAAUAUUUUCCUCAAGGACUCUUACAUUUCUGUGACUAUUUAGUUUUUUCGCAUGUGAAUAAUGUCAUGCCACCAUUUACACCAAAGUUGUUGCUGGAUGAGUGUAUAUUUGAAUGCAGAGAGUUGACAGCUUGUGAUGGUUGCCACGCAUGAAUGCCCUUGCUCACCUAUUAUGUCCUUUGUCUUAGAUUCCGUAAUAUCAUCAUGUUACCUAUUGCUGCCACUAUUAUCUUGUACCUUGGAUUCUUAGAAAUGACAACAGUAUUUUAUGCCCCCCCCCCCCCCCCCCCCAAGAAAAGGUGGUAGCUCUCUGCAGAAAGAAUGUGAUUCAGUUUUCGUAGAUCCCGCUUUUAUCUUAAUCGUACCUCUUGUUGAUAAUAAAUGAUAUUGUGAUUUAUUGGACUCUUCUAACCUAUUAUUUUAUUAUUACAUUGCCUGGAACUUCAAG
RNAcentral lists this long non-coding RNA (53546 nucleotides) under Sorghum bicolor (sorghum). RNAcentral describes it as "long non-coding RNA (SBIC_LNC000774)". Lineage: Eukaryota; Viridiplantae; Streptophyta; Magnoliopsida; Poales; Poaceae. The record is from RNAcentral.